Molecule: long non-coding RNA, 60366 nt
Filed under: Nicotiana benthamiana
Lineage: Eukaryota; Viridiplantae; Streptophyta; Magnoliopsida; Solanales; Solanaceae
Description: long non-coding RNA (NBEN_LNC020517)
Source: RNAcentral
CCAAAAAUGGGACCCUUCCUUGAGCUAAGGACACGCGAAAAGCAUGAUUCUUUCCCAUCUUCAAAAAUCUGACCCUUUGGCAAUAAAAAGGGAACAAAACAACAAGAACGAGGAGAUUUCCACACCCAAGCUCCCAUACACACACGCGAAAAUCCCCAGACUCCCCCUUUUUGGUCUUCGAUCAAAUUCCUCUGCACAUCCCUUCACUUCCCUGAUUUUCCACACCAUAACACAAGCCUCUUCUCAAAAUAGCAAAAAAGGCCCUCCCCCUUCCGCACGUCAGAUUCCCAAAACCAAAUAUCCCGAGAUCUGAGAGCUAAAAAAAACGAGGUUACACCCCUGCUUUGUAUUUUUCAUUUUCACUCAACAAUGGAGGCCACCUAAAAUCUCCAGCUCCCUUUCUUCUAUUACUUCCUCAUCUUCUCGAAAUACAUACUCUUAUUUGGAAUGGAAGAUGGAGACAAAAUAAUUUGAAAGAAGAAAAGGCAGAAUCUGAAUUUUCCAAAGGGAACUUGAAAAAAUUGGUUUCAAUUCUCAACCUCUUCUUUCUCUGGUCUGUCAAGCUGUGGAAGUAGAGUUAAUGGCUUUUGUAUGCUGAUUUUCGUUGUUGUGCUGCUGUUCUGUUGAGUUCUUCUUCGUUUUUUUGAGGUAUGUACGUUCGUUCCCUCAGUCUUACUAUAGACAAACAAUUGUAAAAAUGGUACAGUGUUUGAAAAGGUCACUGUAAUUUGCUGAAAUUGAUAUGUAUUUGGAAACAGCCUCUCUACCCCAGGGUAGGGGUAAGGCUGCGUACACACUACCCUCCUCAGACACCACUGAGUGGUAUUGUACUGGGUCGUACUUUUAAAAGAAACACUCCUCCCCUUUUUCUUCCUUUUUCCUCUUUCAUGUUAAAAAUUCAGUACCUUUCAGCUUUGGACAGAAGAAGUACACACCAUUCUCACACAAAAUGUGUCCUUACUUUUUUGAUAUGUAUUUGGAAUGCAAUGUCAUGUUCGGACCUGUUUUGGCGUAUGUUCCUCAUUUGCAAGACAACUGAUUAGUUUGUAUUGAAGUUUAUCUAUUUUGUUCAUUCGAAACGGGAUCUGAAAUUGAAAUUCUUGAGUUAAAUAAAAUUAGAAGAAGGCUUCAACAUCAACCAUGAAUCCAUAUUCUAUUAGAUAAUUUGAAAGGGGCCGUUUGUGCGACAGUUUAGUGCAUGGUUUCCAGCUGAGUUUUGCUAGGUGUGAGAGUUGUUUUUGCUGCCGCAUUUAGCAGCUUUUUCAGCUGCGUUUUGAAGCCUAAUUUGAGAUGAAAAUGACUGAUUUCUGGAGCUCUUACAUGGCUGUUUUUACUGGUUUUUAGAGUCGUUUUUCAGCUUUAUUUUGAGAGAAUUUUUCAGCUAAGUGUUAAGUCUGCCAACAUUUAGCUUUGAUUGUCUAUUGUUAAUUCUCCUUUAUUUACAUUUUAUGGUUUCAUGUUCUGUUGUUUAGAUUGGUAAUUUUUGUGAAAAUAGUUGAUAUAGUGGUUUAAUAUUUAUAUGAAUUUCAUUUUACAGCAGGGCCUUCUUUCAUUCUAAAUAGUUGCGUAGGUAAUUGAAAGUGCUAAUUAGUAACGGGUGUGAAUUUUUUUGAAUUAAAAGAUAGGCUUGGGUAUUUGGAAUUUUUGAGUGGGAUUGGAAAUUGAAAAACAUUAUAACAAUAAUUUGAGGUGCGCCGUGCCAAACAAAAAUGAUAAUUGCAUGGUCCUCAUUUAGUUAUUUUUUUAAAAAUACUUAGAACUCGGGUGUGCCGUUUAGCGAAUUUCACGGCCUUCCCAAAAGAUUACAACGCGUUAGACUUUAUUAGGCGCGACUUCAAUAAAAUUACAUUCCUGUAUAUGGGUUGGCAUUUUAUGCGGCCCACAUUCAAAUCCUAAAACGUCGAAUGGAGUGUGCCUAGGAUUGCAGGUUCGGUUCGUUUCAUGUGGCGCAAUCUGAAAACACACUUUAGACGAUGUUCACUUUCUCUUAAAUAAAUACGUAUUAAAUAAAAGCGAUUAAACGUAAAAUUGGCACAUAGGCUCUUCAUGUAUUAAAAUCAGAUUUUAGCCAUUCAUGACAAUUUAAGCGACCAUGCUAGAACAAUGAGAUUCGAGGGUGCCUAACACCUUCCCUCGGGUCAACAGAAUUCCUUAUUCAGAAUUUUUGGUUCGCAAACUCCAUUCGGAAGUCGGAAUUUUCCUCGGUUCGGGAUUCAAGAUAAACUGGUGACUUGGGACACCAAAGGCUAAACUUAUCCCAAGUGGCGACUCUAAAUAAAUAAUCCCGAUUCGAAUCAUGUCACUUUAAAUAGAAAAAUCCUAAUACAUUAUCCUUCAGGGUAGUGUGUAAAAAGGAGGUGUGACAGCUCUAGCGACUCUGCCGGGGAAAAGAACCCUGAACAUUUUGUUCAGGGUUCAGAAUUCGAGCUUAGAAUAAUUGUUGCGUUUGGCUUUAUCUGAUUUUGUUAUAUGAUAUGUGCUUAAUGUGCUAAUUGACUGCUUUUACCGCUUUGAUAUUAUGUGAACUGUAUAUAAAUUGUGCCGAACCAAAUCUCCUCUUUGAGUAUUCUAAAUCAUGAAGAAGGGUGUACUUCGUACGACUUCUUUUCUGUAUAGUGUCUAAUUCCCAAUUUAGAACGAAGUUUUGAUAAGUUGCAAAGCCGGCGAAGCUUCUGUAUUCCCGGAUUGCUGCCUCCCCCUCGGCUCGAGUUAUCCGCUCGGGUAAGCCAGGUCUAAAACAAACACCCAGGUUUUGAACCUAGAAUAACUCAGCCUCAUGCCAAAUCCCUGGUAGGAACGCUUAUUUGCAUCAUGUGCUUUUGACUUAGAGGACUCAACACAGGGGUUGGGUUCGUCUAGGGCUAACAACCUGAAAUGAAAAGACCAUCCUGAUGCAUCCUACUUGUUUUCUCUGCAUUUAGUUGAUCGGGCUUGCAUGUUGACCGGCUUUUGAAUCUCGAAAAUGUUAGAAAUAUGAGAAAAUUAGAAAAUAGCAAGACAGGGAGUAAGAAUAACCAAUACCCAAGAGCUGUCGGAACUCUGCCGAAAUUUUAAAAAAUAGGAAGAAAGGAAAAAUGUCUUUGUUUACAAGUCAAAAAUGGUUUGAAAAAGAUUUUUGUCUCAAAAUUAGUUAGUUUAUUGGACCGAACUACGCGGGUCUGAUUCUCACCGGAUGUGAGAUACGUCGGCAAACCUCAUCGGUUCCGACCCCAAUUUUCAAAAAAACCCAAAAAAUAUCUUUAUUACUUCAUUCUUUAGAAAAGUCUUUCUUUAAGACCCCAAUUUUCAAAAAAAAUAAAAUAAAAUAUUUCAUUACUUCAUUCUUUAGAAAAGUCUUUCUUUAAGACCCCAUUUUUUAAAAAUUCAAAUAUUUCCUUUAGUUCAUUCUUUAAAAAAUCUUUCAAAAAAAAAGGUAGUGUUUAAAUACACAAAAAAAAUAGUUCCUUCUUUCUAAUGUCUUUCAUACGAAAAGGAAAAAUUAAAAAAUCAAAAUCCAAAAUAUGGGUUUCUUUUAUUUUAAAAAUCCAAAAAUACUUUUUUUCUUCUUUAAAAGUCUGUCUUUUUUAAAUGUCCAUAAAAAUUUUGUAAAGUCCAAAAAUAUUUUUGCUUUUCUUUAAAAGUACAUUCAGAAAUCCGAGAUGUUUUCUUGAAAGUCCAUCUUUCGAAUAUUCACAAGUCAAAACAAAAUCCAUAUACAUAUACGAGGCAAUAUUCAAAAUUCAAAAAUAAUUUCUUUCUUCCUUAGAAAAAGGUAAAACAAAUGAAAAUUCAAAACUUUUUUUUUUUGCUUUUGAAAGUCCCAAGUUCAAAUAAAAAACAAAUGAAUUUGUAGAAGUCUUUCUUUCAAUAAAGUAGAACAAAAAUCAAAUAUAUAUAUCUCUAUANNNNNNNNNNNNNNNNNNNNNNNNNNNNNNNNNNNNNNNNNNNNNNNNNNNNNNNNNNNNNNNNNNNNNNNNNNNNNNNNNNNNNNNNNNNNNNNNNNNNNNNNNNNNNNNNNNNNNNNNNNNNNNNNNNNNNNNNNNNNNNNNNNNNNNNNNNNNNNNNNNNNNNNNNNNNNNNNNNNNNNNNNNNNNNNNNNNNNNNNNNNNNNNNNNNNNNNNNNNNNNNNNNNNNNNNNNNNNNNNNNNNNNNNNNNNNNNNNNNNNNNNNNNNNNNNNNNNNNNNNNNNNNNNNNNNNNNNNNNNNNNNNNNNNNNNNNNNNNNNNNNNNNNNNNNNNCUCUCUCUCUCUCUCUCUCUCUCUCUCUCUCUCUCUCUCUCUCUCUAUAUAUAUAUAUAUAUAUAUAUAUAUAUAUAUAUAUAUAUAUAUAUUUCUUUUCCUCUUUUAAAGCAUUUCUUUCAAAAAUUUUAAAAAAAAGAGUUAGUUUAUUUGCUCUAUUCCCAAUCUUACCGAACUACGCCGGUUUGAUUCUCACAGGAAGUACGAUAUGUAGGCAACCCUCAUCGGGUCCAACCUUCCCUUUGCAAAAAUAGCCAAAAUGUCAAAACUUUUGAUUUCAUCAUAAAUAAGUCGGGUGAUGCCAUUCUUGUCAAAAAUAAGCCGAAUGUCCCCAAAAGGGCGUCAGAACGCUGUUUUUGCAAGAACAGCCGCCCUGAGUCAUUUUUUAAAUGGUUUGCGGGUACAACCUUAAAAUCUUCCUCCAAAAGUGCUAAAAGACCGUAUCUACAAAAUCAAGUCCCUGUUUUUUUAAUAAAGAAUUUUUGGAAUUCGAUGUCUGAUAUAAAUAGAAAACGAAAAAAUAUACAAUUUUUGAUAAAGAAAAUUUGAAGUCUCUCUUUCAGAAACAAAAUCAAAAUAAAAAACAUAGUCCUUAAAGCAUUUUUUUUCAAAAUUCCAAAGAAAAGGAAGUUAGCUUAUUUACCUUAUUUUCACGAACUACGCUUGGUCUAAUUCGUGCGGGGUCGCGAUACGUAGGCAAUCCUUAUCAGAUUCGACCGUAACCAUAAGAGAAAAACAAAAAGAGAGGGAAGAAAAUAGAGGAAAAACAAAAGAAACAAAAAGCGGAAGAAAAUCUAAAAAAAAUAGAGCGGAGGAAAAUCAAAGAAAACUCAUGGCAGAAAAAAUGGAAAUACAGAAAAUGAGAAAAACAGAGGGGAGAAAAAAGAAAAACAAAUGUAAAAACAAGCAAGGAAAACAAAAGAAAAAUCGGGAUGACACAUGCAACCAUUGAUGUGUGAUUACCUAUUUGUAUUUGUCUCAAAACUAACCGUUCGCUGCUAUCAUUUCCAGAGGCCACAUUUAUAGAAACAGGUGGUUAGUUUUGUGGUAAACUGGCUUCGCACCACUACUUUACUAGAUCUAAAGAUAGCGUCAGAAAUGACCCUGCCAACAAUUCCUAUUUCGGAAGAUAGUCCACUCUUGGGCGUCCCGGCCUCAGAGUCCGCAGUUGACGAAGAAAACAGAAUCUUAAAUCUGAGGGUAAUGGAGAUGUGAGACGCAUGGAUAAGUGGAAAAGAACCCUCGAGUGUCAUCCCUUGAUUUCCCGAGUUGUUCCCAAGACCAACUGGUACCUUUAACAUUCCCAUCAACCACCCUAACUUCCCGCUAGGAUAGCCUACUAUAUUCACUCAUUUCGUGGGAGCAACUUUUGAGGUCCGACCCCAGGCAUUCAUACCCGGGACAACUCCAAACAUCUUCACUGCUCCACCAUCUUCUGCUACAACACAGCCCGCAAUCCCUAGGCCUGUGUUUGAUCCAUCGACCUUCACUUAUCAAACUUCUACUUACCAGCCCGAACUUCCUCCAUACUCCGCAUAUGCUUACCCUCAGCCACCACUAUAUGAGUUUACACCGAGGCAAGACAAAACCCCUAAAGCCCCUGAGCAAGAUGAGAUGGCCAGGAGAAUGAGAAGUCAUGGACAGAGCUUAAAGAACAUGCAAGGUUUGAGCAGGCAAAAGAGUGUCUUUUAUACAAAUUUGUGUAUGUUUCCGCAUGUACAUUUGCCGCCAGGGUUCAAAACACCAAAAUUUGAAAAGUAUGACGGGCACGGCGACCCCAUUGCUCAUUGAAGAAGUAUUGCACCGGUGGCAAAGAAGAACUGUUGAUGGCAUAUUUUGUGGAAAGCUUAAUUGGUAUUGCUUCAGAGUGGUAUAUGGAUCAAGACAUAUCUCGACGGCACAUUUGGGACGAUCUUGCCCGAGAUUUUGUAAGGCAGUUUCAGUAUAACAUUGACAUCGCGCCAGACCGGAAUUCUUUGUCAAACUUGAAGAAGAAACCCUCAGAAAGCUUUAGAGAAUACGCUAUUAAAUGGUGCGAGCAAGCAUCAAAUAUAAAUGGUCACUGUCUUUCUCCAGGCACAGGAAUCAGACUACUUCCAAAACAUGAUGUCGGCCAUGGGCAAGCCUUUUGAAUAGGCCAUCAAAAUUGGUGACAUGGUAGAACACGGUUUGAAUACGGGUAGAAUGUUAAGUCAGUCAGCCAUCAGAGCAACCUCCCAAGCCAUCCAAGGCGGUUAUGGAGGAAUGGCAAAGAAUAAGAUGAGAGAAGAAACAACCAUGGUAGCAUCAGGGGGAAGAAGAUACCGGGCCGGAAGAACCCCUCAACACUACUAUCCUCACUCCGAUAUGGUCUAUGAUCCACCACCUUAUGUAGUUAUGAAUGCUCAACCUUUCGGCCGACCGCAACCACAAGCUAACAGAAAUCAACCUCCAUUCCAAAAAAACCAGCCUCCUCACCAGAACCACUAUAAUCCUUGACCUCCCCAGAAUAACUUUCGUCCCCCAGAACCACUCAGGAGACCCAACUAUACACCAAUCGGUGAACCCUACUCCACCCUAUUCCCUAAGCUUGUCUUUCUCACCAGAACCACUAUUAUCCUCGACCUCUUCAGAAUAACUUUCGUCCCCGGGAACCACCCAGGAGACCCAACUAUACACCAAUCGGUGAAUCAUACUCUAACCUGUUCCCUAAGCUUGUCCAGAUGAAUUUGCUGCAACCCAUACCCCCAAACAGGCAAAACCCGGAAUCACCGUCAUAUCAGCGGGGUGUCAGAUGUGCCUAUCAUUCAGGGUUAGAGGGGCACGAUACAAAUGACUGUUGGACUCUGAAGCAAGCGGUGUAGAAUUUAAUAGGGCGAGGAAAAUUGUGCUGAAGGAUAAGGAUGUCCCCAAUGUGACCAAUAAUCCAUUGUCAGCCCACAACAACAGGCCAGUAAUUGGGAUGAUUUGUGAAGACAAAGAAUUUGAUCUGGCGCAUAAGGCCAUAAAAGAAUUUGAUCCGGCGCUUAAGGCCAUAAUUGCUAUUGCUGAUAUGGAAAGGAAGCCCAAGGCAUCCCUAAAACAAGAGAAAGGGGAAAAGAAGAGUAAAAUCACCGAGAUAGAACCGAAAAAGGAAAUUGACGUAUCCGAGCAAGCCGAUGUGGUAUGGGGGGGGGGGAAUCAAACCACCUCGGCUGCAUGAGCCAAUGGUUAUUGGACGCAUACCAUAGAAGCCUAACUAUAAUGAAGAGGAAGAUGAUGAGGUUUUCACGGCUGAAGAGAGUAAGGGAAUACAUGGGGCGAUGAGGAAAAUGCUUUAUAAAACUCACAUAGUUCAGCUGGGAGAGAGCACAAGCACCACUGAGGUGUCAUACAUGGGACCAAGCGCCAAGCUUCAAAAUUGGAAGGCUACACCAUUCCUGGUCAGGCGGGAGUCCUCGUAGACUUGUCCUGCCACUUUUUCUGCAUCGCGAGUCAUCCCAGGGUGUGACUCGGAUGUUUUCUUUAGUUUCCUUUCUUUAAAUUCCUGAAUGUCAACCCUGUUAUCUUCCCAAAUUCCAAGAAAUGAAAUCAAUAUUUCAUCGUUCAUUUUCUUUAUUUUUUCAGAGUUUGCUAUGUUUUUUCUCUUUCUCUAAUAAUGUAGCUUUAAAUAACAUGACAUGCUUGCGGACUUUAUGCCCAGAUCCCAAGAACUCUAUCAGACUUUGAAAUAAUAAAUCAAAAGUUAAAAUACAAAGAAGUUAAAUUUGAGAAAUAAAAGAAAAGAAUCGGAAUAACAGAGGACAAUUGGUUUGUGGUUUGGGAAAGGUCCGUCACGAAAGCAGAGUUUGAGAACAAUGAGUGGGUCUAGACUCGUAUGGAACGUUGACUUUAAUUAAAACGGAUGACUGCAGUUUGUCAUGGGCAGUUGUACAACCAAAGAAUGGCCUGCGCCUAUGAAAUCUGAAGUAGGGCAACUGGUGUUAAGGCGCAUUGUUUCUCCCUACCAGGAAGUAAAAGGAAGUUUGUGCUUAUUCGGAAGGAUCUAUACACCAUUGGAAAUAUUGCCAAGCGAAGAAUUGUAUCUGGGUGACAUCGAAAAGUGACCCCGAAGUAGUUGAGCAUGUAGAUGCAGUAAAAAGUACUAUGUCUAAACUCGUUCCGCCGAUGUCUUUGCACAUAUGAGAUGAUGAAGGCUUUUACUCCCGCUAUCCAAACACCAUCUAUCCUUCUUAAACCCUUUGAGCGGGUUACCUUUCUUUGAUUACCCUCUUUGGAACCCGGAAGUGCUAUUGAAAAAAAAAGAAGGAAAAGGAAAAGAAAAAGGAAAAAAAGAAAAAGAAAUUAAGAAAAAGAAUAAAAGAAAAGAAAAAAAAACCGAAAAAAAAACAAAAAUAUUUUCCUGAACUACGUACGACUUGAUUCCGAAAGGAUACGUAGGCAGCCUCUCUCUGGGGUUCAGCCACACCAAAACAAAAAUCAAAAUUCCUCAAAAGAUGGAAACUGGGUAGAUGACAUAAUGGUUUGGCCAAGAGACCGCCGAAAUGGUACCAAAGUUGUAGUUCCGUCCAAAAUCCUUUUUACCCCAAAAACCUUGUCCAAGUCCUUCCGAUCAACUGGCAAAGGCGGGGAAGUGGAAAAUGCCAUUGUUGGAAUAUGAUACAAUUCAAAUUUAGAUAAAUAAAAUGAGAGAGUCUUAUCGGUGAAAACCUUCGGGCACCAUAAGGCGAUGGGAGUAGAGAAAUCAAAAAUGAGAGACUCCACUUAGCAAAAACUCGCAAAGAGCGCUAUCGGAUGACGGUGAGAAGAGAAAUGAGAGAGGUCGAAUGUGCGAAAAGCCACAAAGGGCGUUGUCGGCCGGAAAAAGUCAUCUCACCACUAAAAGAGUCGUGGAAAGGUUCCCUGGUUUUGAAAUGUGGAAAUGCGAUUCACGAGAAGUUGGAAAGUUUGUGUGGGUCGGGCGUCUAGUCCAAGAAGCAUGUCAUGUUCAUUUGGAGCCAGCAUGCACCCCAAAUAAGUCCUUCAUUUUCCCUGAAAGGGACGCUUCUCUUUAAACUCAUAUGCUUGCCUUUUGCAUACUUUUCUUUGAAUCCCUUUCGGUUUAACUCUGAUUCCGUAACAAUUACAAAGAAAAGGUGGCAGGACCGGUUUCACAGAGCUCCGCCUGGCAAGAGUCAAAGAAAAUACCCAACCUCAGUGGUGCGUCAGUUCAAUUCGUAACAAUUACAAAGAAAAGGUGGCAUGACCGGUUUCAUAGAGCUCUGCCUGACAAGAGUCAAAGAAAAUACCCAGCCUCAGUGGUGCGUUAGUCCAAUCCCGACUGACCAUGGUGGUUGAUUGCUUCCAAAGUAAAAACGUUUGAAAGGAAAGAAAGUCAAAGGCAAAAUUCCUAAGGGCAGAAUAAAUUAAAAGGACAGAGCCCACACGAGCGAGUCAUCAUGAAAUCCUAAGGCUUAACCCGGUCAGUGUGAAAGAGAUUCAUCCUCAAGGCCAACAGGCAGUAAAUUUCUCAAUGGAAAUGGGGCCGGGAUCAAGUGAUGGAGAUGAUCAAGGCCACAAAACCAACCACCGUAUCAACUAACAAAUUGUUCUUUGUUAAAAAUAGGUCUUACUCAAAACAACCGUGCAAGAAGCAGGUGCAGCCCAAAAGAAAUGAAAUGUGCGAGCGUUGAAAUAGCGUUGCAGCACGAAAAAUGACCAAAAGGAAAGUUUUCUCAAACACUCUUUCAUGCAUUCUGAUAAAUAAAAAGGAAUAACCUCUAAAAAAAAUAAAAAAAAGAACCAAAAAGAAAGAAGGAAAGAAAUGGAAAACGAAAAUCCCAAAAGAGAAUCAAAUCAUGGUAGUUAUAGUUUUUUCUAUCCAAAACCCGGCCAAAAAAGCGAGGAUCUCUCGGCCAAAAAACCGUGGAGCAUUCUCUAUCUAAAUCCCGGCCAAAAAACCGAGGAUCUUUCAGUCAAAAAAUCGUGGAGCCUUUUCUUUUCCAAAUUUCGGCUAAAAAAUCGAGGAUCUCCCGGCCAAAAAAUCAUGGAGCUUUUUCUAUCCAAAUCCUGGCAAAAAAAUCGGGGAUCUCCCGGCCAAAAAAUCACGGAGCUUUUUUUAUCCAAAUCCCGGCCAAAAAACCGAGGAUCUCCCAGCCAGAAAACCGUGGAGCUUUUUCUAUUCAAAUCCCGACCUAAAACCGAGGAUCUCCCGACCAAUAAAUUGCGGAGCCUUUUUCUGUCUAAGUAUCCCAGCCAAAAAACCGAGGCCAAAAAAUCGCGAAGCUUUUUUCUAAAUAUCUCUGCCAAAAAACCGACGAUCUCCGUGGCAUAACCCAAGGAGCUUUUUCUUUUCAAAUCCCAGCAUAACCUGUGGAUCUCCCUGGCAUAACCCAAUGAGUCUUUUCUUUCCAAAUACCGGCAUAACUCGUGGACCUUUUCCGGCAUAACCUGAUGAUUUUUCCGGCAUAACCCGUGGACCUUUUUCGGCAUAACCCGAUUCUUUUCUCGGCAUAACUCGUGGAUCGUUUUCGGCAUUACCCAAUGAUUUUUUCCGGCAAUUCCCGUGGAUUUCCUUGGCAUAACCUAAGGAGCUUUUUCUUUUUCAAAUCCCGGCAUAACCCGUGGAUCUCCCUGGCAUAACCCAAGGAGCCUUUUCUUUCCAUAUCCCGACAUAACCCGUGGACCUUUUCCGGCAUAACGCGAUAAUUUUCCCAGCAUAACCCGUGGACUUUUUUUGGCAUAACCCGAUGAUCUUUCCCGGCAUGACCCGUGGACCUUUCCGGCAUAACCCAGUAAUUUUUCCGGCAUAACCCGUGGACCUUUUCCGGCAUAACCCGAUGACCUCCCCGGCAUAACCCGAAGAAUCCUCUCUCUUUUCCGGCAUAACCCGGCUGUUUCCCAGCAUAACCUGGAUUCAUUCACAAAGAUACACAAUCCUAAUAUGAUCGCUUAGAUAUGUGUCACAAUUAACUCACGAAAAUUUCUUAGCAAAAACUGGGGCAGAAAAUUUCGUUUGUUUGUUUGUUUUGGUAUCUUAAGCAGGUUGACCUCAAAACACAGGAUUUAAGAUGACCAAAAUAAUGAGUCUCAAUCCAGAACAAAGAAAAGAAGAAAAGGACAAAAAGAAGAGAACUUAAAGUGCUGAAGUGGAAAAGGACGCGGACUGCUCAAGAUAUGAUUGAAGUCAUAUGCUUCGCAUGUCCUGCCUUGAUCCAAAGCUGAAGAAUGCACCAACGGUAACAUCUGACGAGCAUCAAGAUUCAAAUCAGAGUUUGCCUCAAGAACCAGCCGAGACUCAAGAUCAAGCUUCAGAAGACUCACAUAUAGGAAUCUUGUAACUCGUAGCUGAUAUGCUUAGAUAGUCUUUUUCAAUUUUGAUGUAAUAACAGGACAGCGGACCGGAGCCCUGGACGGAACCUCGACUCUCAACCUCGGUACUCCAUCACUCUGAACUACAUAUGACCUGAUUCCUUUAUAGCCAAUGAUUUGUAGUCAUCCUUUGAAGCAAGGUUCGGUCAGACAGUUUUUCAAAAAUGCUUCUCAUGGAGUUUCAAAUGGGCAAAAAUCCCUCACAGUGCUUACUUUAUCUUUGCCUGAAAACUCUUUGUGUUUCCGAGCAAAGAGGGGCAGCUGUAAGCAUGUGAUUUUUGCCAUAUAUGAAGAUAACUUCUAAAAAUAAGUCAAAAUAAGUUUUAGGAAUUUUUUCUUUUUUUAGUCGCAUUUCAUGCAUUUUAAUAUUUUAAAAUCAAAUAAUAAAUACCAAAAAUACUUGUCCUUUGGAUUUAGAAUUUAAUUUUACAUUUUAGGAAUAAUUAGUAGUUGAGUUACUUUUAGUUUUAAUUUGUUUAAUUUGCAUUUGAAUAGGGAAUUUGCGUAAUUGAAAAUCUGGAAGUAUAAUUUUAGAGUCAAUUUGAGUUUUGGUUUUAAUUUAGCAUUUAACAAAAUCAGAAAAUAAAAUACAAAAUAAGUAAAUAAAAUACAAAAAAAGAGAGGAAGAUAAAAGAAAUUGGGAGUAAAAAAAAUGGGAAGAACCUUCCCCAAAAUAUUUUUCCCCAAAUCAUUUCUCCCACAUAAGACCUUUCCCCCAAAAUAUUUCGUCACCUAAAAACUUCCCCAAAAAGUAUUUCCUCACAUAACACCUUCUCCCCAAAUAAAACUCCUCCACAUAACACCCCACCCCAUACCCCUCUAUAUAAACACACAACAAAUACAAAAAAAAAGAAAGAAAAAAAGGAGCAGAAGAAUUCCUUCGUUUCCUCUCUAUACCUAAAUCCACAAUAAAGCUACAAACAUAAAAUCAAUUUGGAUAGAAGGAAAAUGGAUAAGGUGAGGGUACAACUGUAGGUACAGGGAAAGACGAUGGGAUCUUAAGCAACUCGUUGGAUCUGGCCGGAGAUACAAUUUUUCGAACGACUCUCGGUGCCAUCGAGUUAGAUCUAACCAGUCUCUAUUGUUACGCCUGAAGCAGAGGUGAUUUGAGGUCCGUUUGGGAUCGCCGACGUAGUUUUUGAUCCGGUCAAGGUCCCGUUCAGUUAACCAUUUUUGCGAUUCAGAGAUUUUAAGGUCAAUCAAUUUUCACCUUCUUCAUUGUAGUUGCUGAAAUUUAAUCGAAAGUUUGCACAUUAUGGUCCAUCUAAACUUAUCUCUUUUAUAUGUUUGAUGUCUCUGUUUGCAUAUGUUUUUUUACAUGGCGUUGGCUUGUUAUCUAGUCCGCUCGUCCUCAGUCACGCACACCGAUCCUGUUUGUUGUUUCAUAUAUUUGUUAGAAUUUUUCAGCAUUCGGAUUAGGCUUAAAUCUUCCAAAAUAAGUGUUGAGUUUCUGGUUUAGUUUGUUAGAUUUUCGUGUUUCCUUUCACUCAUGUCCUAUCUUGAUUAAAUACAGUAGCACCACAUUAUUUUUUAUGCAAUGGCAACGCACGAGUACAAUUUCUUUUGUUAUCAAGUUUGCGUAUGUUCAAUAUUUAAUUUUGUUAGAUUUUACCCUUUCGGUUUUUUUAGAGUUCCUCAUGUUAUGUUUUUAAGUGAAAUUACAAUGAAGUGAGAGUUCACGCCAAUUAUAUUGAAACAUUAAGUUUGAAGUUGGACCGUGUUUGAACAUAAGGUUGAUCUAUUUGUGUAAGUGGCAUGUCAAUGGUUUUAGAAUCGUUGGCUACGUGAAUAGCAUGUUAAUGGCAUCAUUGGUUAGUGUAAAUGAAUUUUCUAUGAAACGCAUCUCUUUAUGGAAGUAUAGCAGAAUGUAGUUCUAUUUUAAAUUAGAAUAAGAGGUAUAAUGCAACGAACAAAAAUAACAAUUGCACGACCCUUAUUUGAUUAAUCUUAUUUUGUCCUUAGAAUUGAGGUGUGCCAUUUAGUAAAUUCCAUGGCCCUCGCAAAUUACAACGUGCUAGACGCUAUUAGGAGCGACAUUAAUAAAUUACAUUCCUAAAUACGAGUGGACAUUUUAUGCGGUCCAAAUCUAAAUCCUAAAACGUUGAAUAGAGUGUGUCUAGGAUUGCGAGUUCAUUUCAUGCGGCGUAAUUCGAAAACACAUGUUAAACGACGUUCACUUUCUCAAAUAAAUAAAUAAAUAAAUAAAUAUAUAUAUAUAUUUAAUAAAAAUGGUUAAAGAUAAAAUUGGCACAUAGACAUUUCAUGUAUUAAAAUCAGUUUUUAGCCAUUCAUAGCAAUUUAAGUGACCGUGCUAGAACCACGGGAUCCGAGGGUGCCUAACACCUUCCCUCGGAUCAACAGAAUUCCUUAUUCAGAAUUUCUGGUUUGCAGACUCCAGUUGGGAAGUCGAACAUUUUCCUCGGAUGGGAUUCAAGCUAAAUCGGCGAUUUGGGACACCAAACGCCAAACCUUUCCUAAGUGGCGACUCUGAAUAAAUAAUUCCGAUCCGAAUAAGGUCACUUUUAAUGGAAAAUUCCCUUAUACAUUAUCCUCCGGGGUAGGUAUGUAAAAAGGAGGUGUGACAACUGUUUGUUCCGGUACAAAGAUAACAAACGAAGAUAAACUAGAAGAGACUCGGUCAUGCGGACGCCAACAAGGCUACCUCGAAAAUCUCUGGACUGAAGUCAGCUCGCAACGCUCCUACUGUGGUCCACAAGCUGCUCCGGCUCCAUAAUCUAUGCAAAACGAUACGAAAGUAUAGCAAAAGCACAAACGACCCCUGGGAGGGGGACAUGCUUUUGGGAGUAACAGAUAAAAUAGAACGACCGGAAUAUAUAAGGAAAACUACAAUUGAUUCCUUCUAACACAGAAUAUAUUAUCGGUGCGCCACGCGAUCCCAUUUCAUGAUGUAUAAGUGGUCGGCGUGCCACACGAUCCCAUUUCGUAAUAUAUAAGUGGCCGGCAUGCCACACGAUCCCAUUUAAUAAUAUAUAAGUGGUCGACAUGUCACACGAUCCCAUUUCAUAAUAUAUAAGUGGUCGGCACGCCACACGAUUCCAUUUCAUAAUAUAUACAAUGGUUUCCCGGCAAGAGACAAGUAUCAAUUCAACUAUCCCAGCAAGGAAGAAUACAAAUAAACAGUUAAUUUCCGACAAGGGAGCAACAACAAUAAUUUGCACGUCCCAGCAAGGUAAUAAUUGCAUCUCUUUCUCUUUCGCUCAUUUCUUACUUCCUAAUCAUGUCAUAAUUCGAGUCAACGCUCCAAGGAGUUUACAAAUCGUAUUUCCUUUUCAUACUCUUCACAUUAUAUAGAAACCAUAAAUUAAACAAGGAAGAGUUACUACAGAAUCUCAAUAAGCACAAAUAAGGACUCACGGUCAUGCUAGACACCGGUGAAUAGAUACUUGUCAACAUGCCUAUACACCAUACUCAACAUUUAGCAAUUAAUAAAUAAUACUCUAAUCUUAUUCCCUCGAGCCAAAAUUAGAUCAAACACUUACCUCGAAUGCUCCAAAAUCAACUCAAGACUCUAGUACAGCUUUACCCCUUGAAUUCGGCUCCAACUCAGUCAAAUCUAUGAAAUAAUGACUUUACAAUAUUAAUAAUAGCUUAAAAAAAUUAAAUCCAAUGCCUAAAUAUGGAUUUCUAAGAUUUCUUCCCAAAAUUCCAAAAAUAGAUCCCGGGCCCGCUUGGUCAAAACUCAAGGUUUGAACUAAUUCCACGUCACCCAUUCCCCCACGAGCCCGGAUAUUCAAUUUGUUUUCAAAUUUGACCCCAAAACGAGGUCUAAAUGAAAGAAAAUUGAAAAGCCCUAAUUCUACUCAUUUCCCCCAACUCUUACCAUAAACUACAUGAUUUAGGUCUAUGAAUUUGAUAAAUGAUGAUAGAAUAUGAAGAAAACGAGUCAGAUAAUACUUACCCAAGAAGCUUUGGUGAAGAAGAGCUCUAAGAAUCGCAUAUGGGUUGUGGAGAAGAAGAGCUCGUGUGAAAUGGAGUGAUGCUCGUAUCUACUGUUUUGAUUGUUUUAGAAAAACCACAGGGCGGAUUUACUCUAUGCGUUUGCGACAGGGGUGUCGCGUUCGUGAAGAAAGGAGGUUGGGAAGCACCGUGUUCGCGAUAGGUAUGAUGCGAAUGCGAAGAAGGAAGCUGGGGGGGGGGGGGUCAAGGAAUUGGCCUAUGCGAACGCGAGGGGGUAAUAUGCGAACGCAUUGAAGGGAUUACUGGCACUACACGAAUGCGAGAAGGGGGACCACGAACGCGAAGGAGGGGGCGCCAAGGCAGUGCGAACGCGAGCCUGAGGCCGCGAUUUGUAGAACAAAAUGUAUGUGUAAAAUUGCAGAAAAAUCUGAUCCUUUUUCCUAAGUUCAAGACACCCCGAACCACCUCCGAAUCACUCCCGAGCCCUCGGGGCUCUUAUCCAAACACACACACUAACUCAAAAAACAUCUUGCGGACUUAAUCGAGCGAUCAAUUCGCUAAAAUAAUAUCACAAACGACGAAUCAAACCUCAAAUUCAUCACUUUUCAUUCAAACUUAUUAAAUUUCUAACUUUUGAUAUUUAGGUCCGAAAUACGUCAAAUGACGUUCGAUUUCAACCAAAUCACACAGAAACAUAUUAAACCAUGUAUAAGACUUGUACCGGGCGCCGGAGCCAAAAUACAGGCCCGAUACCAACGCUUUCUCAUCCAAUUUUAUUUCAAAUUUUCUUAUUAAUUCCAGAAAAAUAAUUUGUUUAAAAAACUUUAUUUCUCGGGUUCGGGACCUCGGAUUUCGAUUCCGAGCAUAUGCCCGAGUCCCAUAUUUUGAUACGGACCCUCCGGGACCGUCACAUCACGGGUACGAGUUCGUUUACUUAAAAUAUUGACCAAAGUCAAUUUUAAUCAUUUUAAAGCCAAAUUUCAACAAUUUUCACAAAAUUUAACAUAUAAGCUUUCCGACUAUGCGCCUAGACUAUGCACCAAAAUGAAGGCAACUAAAAGUGAGGUUUUCAAGGCCUCGAGAGCACGAAAAAGGUGAAAACAGGUGAUGACCCUUUGGGUUAUCACAUUCUCCACCUCUAAAACAACUCUUCGUCUUCGAACGGAUAAAAGAAAGAAGUACUUAGGUAGGGAAAUAGAUGAGGAUAACGGCUUUGCAUAUCAUACUCGGACUUCCAGGUUGAUGCCUCAGGAGGCUGACCUCUCCACUAAACACUCACUGAAGGAAAACUCUUUGACCUCAACUGUCAAACCUGUCUGUCUAGAAUGGCUACCAGCUCCUCCUCAUAAGAUAGAUCCUUGUCCAACUGGUCAGCGUUGAAAUCUAGCACGUGGGAUGGAUCACCGUGAUACCUUGGAAGCAUAGACACAUGAGAAACUGGUUGCACGGGUGACAAUCUAGGCUGUAAGGCAAGUCUAUUAUCCACCUCUCCCAUACGGUCGAGAAUUUCAAAUGGGCCAAUGUACCUAGAGCUAGGCUUGCACUUCUUCCCAAAUCUCAUCAUGCCCUUCACAGGGUCACACGGAGCAAUAUCAGCUCACCAACCAUAAAAGCCACAUCUGGAACCUUGCAGUCUGCAUAACCAUUCUGUCUAGACUGAGCGGUCUGAAGCCUAUCCUAAAUGAUCUUGACCUUAUCCAAGCCCUCCUGAACUAAAUCUAUACCCAAUAACCGAGCCUCUCCUGGCUCAAACCAUCAAAUCAGAGACCGACAUCGCCUACCAUACAACGCCUCAUAUGGAGCCAUCUGAAUGCUGCACUGGUAGCUAUUGUUGUAGGCAAACUCUGCUAAAGGCAAAAAUUGGUCCCAUGAGCCUCCAAAAUCAUUGACAAAGGCCCGGAGCAUAUCCUCCAAUAUCUGAAUAGUCCGCUCGGACUGACCGUCCGUCUGAGGAUGGAAUGUUGUGCUCAACUCAACUCGGGUGCCCAACUCCUGCUGGACUGCUCUCCAGAAGUACGAGGUAAACUGCGUACCCCUGUCCGAAAUGAUAGAUACCAAAACCCCAUGAAGGUGAUCAAUAUCUCUGAUAUAGAUCUCAGCUAACCUCUCUGAUGAAUAAGUGGCUGCAAUAGGAACAAAAUGUGCUGACUUGGACAACCUAUCAACAAUGACCCAAAUAGCGUCAAACUUCUUCUGAGUCAUUGGAAGUCUAGUACAAAAUUUUUAGUAAUCCUCUCCCACAUCCACUCGAGAAGCUCAAUCCUCUGAAACAAUCCACUAGGUCUCUGAUGCUCGUAUCUAACUUGCUGACAGUUCAAACAUCGAGCCACAUAUGCAACAAUAUCUUUCUUCAUUCUGCGUCACCAAUAGUGCUGCCUCAGAUCCUGAUACAUCUUCGCGACGCUUGGAUGAAUAGAAUACCGAGAACUAUGGGACUCCACUAAGAUCAACUCCAGAAGCCCAUCAAUAUUGGGCUCACAAGCUCGUCCCUACAAUCUCAAAACACCAUAAUCAUCUAAGGUCACUUUCUUGACACCUCCACGCUGCACCGUGUGGGGAUCAUCAAACUGCCAAUCACGAAUACGCUCCAAUAAUGAAGAAGGAGUGACCGUGCAAGAUAACAGUCGGCAAGGUUCAGAAAUAUCCAACCUCACGAAUCGAUUGACCAAGGCCAGAACAUCCAAAGCAAACGGCCUCUGACUGACCGGAAUAUAAGCAAGACUACCUAUGCUGGCAGACUUUUUACUCAAUGCAUCGGCCACCAUAUUGUCCUUUCCCGGGUAAUACAAGAUAGUAACAUCAUAGUCUUUCAACAACUCCAACGACCUCCUUUGCCUCACAUUCAGCUCCUUUUGCUUGAACAAGUAUUGAAGACUCCUGUGAUCAGUGUACACCUCACACAUCACAUCAUAUAGAUAGUGCCUCCAAAUUUUCAAAGCAUGAACAAUGGCUGCCAACUCUAGAUCAUGAACCGGAUAAUUCUUCUUGUGAAUCUUCAACUUCCUUGAAACAUAGGCAAUGACUCUGCCAUCCUGCAUCAAUACUGCACCAAGCCCAAUACGAGAAGCAUCAUAAUAGACGUUAUAAGGCCCUGAAAAUGUAGGCAAAACCAAUACCAGUGUCGUAGUCAGAGCUGUCUUGAGCCUCUGGAAGCUCGCCUCACACUCAUCUGACCAUCUGAAAUAGGCACCCUUCUGGGUCAAUCUGGUUAUUGGGGUUGUAGUAGAUGAAAAUCCCUCCACGAACCGAUGGUAGUAGCCUGGUAACCCUAAGAAACUCUGGUCUCUAUAGCUGGUGCUGGUCGAGGCCAGUUCUUGACUGCCUCAAUCUUCUUUGCAUCCACCUAAAUAUCCUCUGCUAAAAUAAUGUGACCCAAAAAUGCAACCGAACUCAACCAGAACUCGCACUUUUAAAACUUUGCAUAUAAUUGACGAUCCUUCAAAGUCUAAAGAACCACUAUGAGGUGCUGCUCGUGCUCUCCUGACUACGAGAGUGUAUCAGAAUAUCAUCAAUGAAACUAUCACGAACAAGUCCAAAUAAGACCAGAACACUCGGUUCAUCAACUCCAUAAAUGUUGUUGGGGCAUUGAUCAACCCAAAGACUAAAAAUUCAUAAUGCCCAUACCGAGUGCGGAAUAUUGUCUUAGGGACAUCAGACGCCCUAAUCCUCAGCUGAUAAUAGCCAGAUCUCAAAUAUAUCUUUGAAAUUACCUUCGUACCCUGAAUUUGGUCAAAUAAAUCGUCGAUCCUUGGUAGUGGAUACUUGUUCUUUAUCGUCAUCUUGUUCAAUUGCCGGUAAUUAAUUGGGACAACCGAAAGGGUCAUCACUUGUCUUUCUCUAUUUUCCGCACUUCCAAGGCCUUAAAAACCUCACUUUUAGUUUCCUUGAUUUGUGUGCGUAGUCCGACGCAUAGACGGAAAGCUUAAAUGUGAAUUCUGUGAAAACUUUGAUGAAUUUUGAUAUUAAUAUGAUUAAAAGUUGACUUUGGUCAACAUUUUGGGUAAACAGACCCGGAUCGGCAAUGUGACAGUUCUAGAGGUCCGUAGAUAAAUAGGGAACUCGGAUGUAUUCUCGGAAUCAAAAUCUGAGGUCCCAAGUCCGAGAAAUGAAUUUUUGAAAAAACUUAUUUUCUGAAAAUGAUAUGGAAAGUUGAAAAGAAAAUGAGUUAGAAAAUAUUGCUAUCGGGCCCGUAUUUCGGUUCCGGCGCCCUGUAUAGGUCUUAAAUAGGGUUUAAGCACUUUUUGUGAAAUUUGGUCGAGAGCUGACGUCGUUUGACGUGGUUCGGACCUAAAUAUCUAAUGUUUGAAAGUUUAUGAAGUUUGAAUGAAACGUGAUGAUUUUGAGGUUGAUCCCUAAUUUAUUAUUUUGGCGAUGUGAUUGCACGAGAAAGUCCAUAGGAUAUUUUUGAGAUUCUACGUAUGUUGGUUUGGAGGCUCGAGGGCUCGGGUGAGUUUUAAGUAGGUCCCAGGAGGUCUUAGACUUAAAAGUAUCAGAUAUUGAGGGUCCAGGUGUUGCAGGCCCCCAGCACGGCCGCAAUGCCUUUCUGCGCGGUCUGCGUGGCCAACUUCAGUGGGCCAGUGAAUUCCAGGUCGAGCAGCGCGGCCGCACACCAAAUCAGUGCGGUUAGCGCUGGGUAGGUUUAGAGAGUGAUUUCUUCUUCCCUUUCUCGGCGUGGCCGCGGUACAGUUUUGUGCGGUCCAUGCCAACCUUUAGUAAAGUAUAUAUUCUCGGGAUUUUCAGUCAUUUUUCACUUUCUCAAAACCCAAAACAUAAAAGGCGAUUUUCCUAAUGAUUCUUUUUCUCCAAAACGAGUGGUAAGUGAUUUCUAUCUUACUUUCUUCACUCCUUAACACCUUUAACCUAAUUUAAACUUCAAAACUAAGAUAUUAAUGGAGAAAAUUGGGAAUUUAGGGUAGAGCCUAGGGUUUCAAAAAUUGGGGGUUUUAGACCUCAAUUCGAGGUCCGAUUCUAAUAUAACUUAUAUAUCGAAGCUCAUGGGGGAAUGGGAACCUCGGGUUGGCAUUUUGGGAAUAUUGAGUAAUACUUUGGAAAUUUAUUUUCAUGCAUUCAAAUUGAUCAAGUAGCAUUUGUUAACACAUUCUAGUAAUUUGUGACUAGAUCAGAGCGGUUUGGUGGUGAAUUCGAGGGGUAAAACAAUACUAGAGGGGUGAGUUGAGUUUCGAGUAUUCAAGGUAAGUGUUUGUUCUAAAUUUGGCUUGUGGGAAUAGGUUUAGGAUAUUAUUUACUAAAUCCUAAAUGCGGAGUACGGUAUAUAGGCAUGGUGACGAGUAUCUAUGCACCGAAGUCUAGCAUGAUCGUGAGCCUUAAUUGUGCUUAUCUGGGUCUUUGUGAUACAUCUUCCUUGUUUAAUCGAUAAGUUUCAUAUAAAAUGUGAUGAGUUUGAGGAAUAGUUAUGAAUUGUAAACCCUUGGGAACAUUGGCUUGAACGAUAAGAGAACUAAUGAGUAAGAAAUGAAAGAGAUACGAAUAAUCCCUUGUCGGGAUGUUUUGAGUAUAUUGAAUUACUCCCUUGCCGGGAUUUAGUUGUGUUGUUAUGUUCCCUUGCCGGGAUAUCUUCACUGGUUAUUCUUCUCUUGCUCCUUAUUUGUGACUGUUGUUUGGAUGAGGAAAUAUGAUAUUAGUGGGUCUGAUUGCAUGUCGCAAUGGUGUUUAAUGAUAUGGAUCGGGUUGCGCGCCGCAACAAGUAUAAAUAAUAUCAAUACGGACUGGGUUGCACGCCGCAACAAUAUCAAGAUAUGUGGAUCAUGCUGCUCGCCGCAACAGUGUAAUUGAGUGACUGGAUCGGGUUGCUUGUGGCAACAGAGUAUGGGUUAAAUGUGUUAUUUUUGGAUUUGAGCUUUGUUGGUUGAUCUACCUUUAUUUUGGACUCCUUGUUUAUAACUGUUGUCUCCCCAGCAUGUUUCCCCCUCCUCGUAUAAACUGCUUAUCUCCGUUUACUUUCUGCAAAGUAUAUUUCAUAUAUGUACAGGUUUAUCUGGUAGUCUAGUCUAGCAUCGUCACUAUUUCGCCGGGGUUAGGCCGGGCACUUACCAGCACAUGGGGUCGGUUGUGCUGAUGCUACACUAUGUGUAUAUCUUUUCACAGAUCCAGGAGCAGCUUUUGGACCACAGCAUCAGUAUUGAUCGUGAGCUGACUUCAGUCUAGGGACUUGCGAGGCAGCCUUGCUGACCUCUGCAGGCUGGAGUCCCUUUCUCUUUAUUAGUUCAUUUUCUUUGUAUCGAGACAAACACUGAUCUAUUUCAUUCAGACUUUUGUUUUAGUACUCUAUAGUAGUUCGUGAGUAGUGAUACCAUACUUUGGGUAAAUGUGUAUUCAGACUUCCGUAUUCUUUCUUUUUUCAGUUAUAUAAGUUUUAAAGACUUCCGUUUUAUUUAAUUGUUUCAUUUCAUCUAUAUUAUCGAGAAUGUUAACUAAAAAAUGUUUAAAUGUUGGCUUUCCUAGCUCCUAAUAAUAGGCGCCAUCACGACUCCCCGUGGUGGGAAAUCCGAUUCGUGACAUCAAUGCACAUCCUCGUCGACCCAUCCUUUUUCUUCACAAAUAACACUGGCGCACCCCAAGGCGACACACUAGGUCUAAUGCAACCCUUCUCAAGCAAAUCCUGCAACCGAUCCUUUAACUCUUUCAACUCUGGCGGGGCCAUGUGAUACGGAAAAAUGGAAAUGAGCUGCAUGCCCGGAGCCAGAUCAAUACAGAAAUCAAUAUCCAUGUCGGGCGGCAUACCCAGUAUGUCUGAAGGGAAAACCUCGGGGAACUCUGGAACAAUUGAAACAUAAUCAAUAGAAGGGACCUCUGCGCUGGAGUCACGAACAUACACCAAGUAAACUAAACACCCCUUAUUGACCAUGCAUCGAGCUUUCACAUAUGAUAUAACACUGCGGGUGGCAUGACCUGGGGUCCCUCUCCACUCUAGUCGGGGCAAAUCUGGUAAAGCCAAGGUCACAGUCUUGGCAUGACAAUACAAGAUAGCAUGAUACGGGGACAACCAAUCCAUCUUCAAUAUAAUGACAAAAUCCACCAUGUCUAAGAGAAAUAAAUCAACACGGGUCUCAGGACCCUCAAACACUACCAUUCAGGAACGAUGCACCCGGUCGACCACGAUAGAAUCACCCACUGGUGUAGAUACAUAGACAUGAAUACUCAAAGCAUCACUAGUCAUAACGAGGUAGGGUGCAAAAAUAGGAUGACACAUAUGAAUACAUAGACCCAGGGUCAAAUAGCACCGAAUCACCUCUAUCACAGACUAGAAUAGUACCUAUAAUAACUGCAUUGGAGGACUCAGCCUCUGGCCUGGCUAGAAGAGCACAAAAUUGGGGCUGGGCCCCACCUGCCCGAACCAUGUCUCUAGGACGAUCGACUACUGGCUGACCCCUAACUCUGGAGGUCUGAGCUCCACCUCUAUAAUUUUUACCUCCACCUCUAUGACCUCUACCUCCGUCUCUAGCUGGCUGGGCGGCCUUGAAUCACCUGAUGCCUGAAUCAUAGGAUGAGGACCUUGCUACUGAGAGCUGUCAGAUGCUCGAGGGCGAUACUUCGAAAUGGGUCUCAUAUCUCCACACAUGUAACAAGCCCUCGGUUUCUGAGAAUAACAGAGUGGUGGCGCUCUGAUAGGUGCUGAUAGUGAACUGAGAAGCUGCAGGUCAAAAUAAUGCGGAUGAGAACCACGACUGCCUGAAGUACUAUGUGAGGCCUGUAGGGCUGACUGAAAGGGACUCGGAGCAUGGCCUCCACCACAAGUAUCCCCAACUCCGGACGAGGUACCAGUGAACCUAUCUGCAUGACGGGGCCUCUUAUCUGGCCCAUGACCACCUCCCCAUGCAAGAGCCAUCUAAACUCUACGGGUUGCAUUGGCCGCCUCCUGAAAAAAAAUCUCAUUACCGGCUCCCAUAGCCAUCUGGAGAUGGAUCGGCUGAAUCAACCCAUUAGUAAACCUCCGCAUCCUCUCUCCCUUGGUGGGGACUAUAAAAAUAGCAUGGAAUUCCAUAUCAAUGAAUCGAGUCUCAUACCGCGUGACUGUCAUAGAGCCCCGCUGGAGGCGCUCGAACUGCUUGCUAAGAGUCUCCUGCAGAGUGACUAGGAGAAACUUCUCCAAAAAUAACUCUGCAAACUGGUCCCAAGUCAAUGAUGGUGACCCUCCUGUUCUGGAUAAACAAUAGUCCCUCCACCAUGUCUUGACGGGUCCUGCUAGUCAAAAGGUGGCGAAGUCGACCCGAUUGGUCUCCACAAUGCCCAUAGUCCGAAGAACCUCAUGGAAGUUGAAUAAGAAAUCCUAGGGGUUCUCUGAAGAAGAUCCAUUGAAUGUGGUGGUGCAGAGCUUGGUGAACCUAUCAAUCCUCCACAAAGCAUCCACGGACAUAGCCACUCCGUUGCCGGUCUGAGUUAUAAUACACGGCUGAACUACCACAGCCGGAUGAACCGCUGGAACCUGAGAUUGAGGAGCUACCUGCUCCGGCGUAUGUGUAUUAGGAGUCUGGACUUGUCCCCCAGCCUGAGAAGUGUCUAGUGCUACUGGAAGCAAACCUUCUCUAGUGACGCACUCCACAAGGCCUACUAAUCUGACCAAAGUAUCCUAAAGAAUAGGGGCGGCUAUGAACCCCUCUGGGACCUGAGCUGGGCCCACUGGAGCUGCUGGGGUUGGAACCUCCUCAUCAUAAUCAACAUAAGGCUCCACCUCUGGGAGCUUUGCCCCUGCCCCUGCCUCGGCCUCUGGCAUGGCCUCGACCUCGCCCUCUGCCCCUUGUAGGAGCUGUUGCGCGGUAGAAGAGAAAGCAAGUGUUCUCGCUAUCUGCAAAAGAAUAGAGUAUAAAGACAAUUAGUAUUUGAGAAACAGAAUCUCACGAUAAGAAAGAACAAAAGUGAAAUUUUCCUAACUUUGCAACCUCUAGGGAUAAAUACAGACGUCUCCGUACCGACCCUUCAGACUCUACUAAGUUUGUCCGUGAGUUGUGAGACCUAUAUAAUCUACUGCUCUGAUAUCAACUUGUCACGACCCGAAUUUUCCACCAUCGGGAGUAGUGAUGGCACCUACUAAUAGGAGCUAGGGAAGCCAAUUAAUUUAAUACUUCUAUUAGUAACAUCAACAAUAUAAAAAAAGACGAGACAAUUAAUAUAAAAGCAAAAGUCUUAAAACAUAAAUAACUGAAAGCAAGUGCGGAUGUUCAAAUACAAUUCUACCCAAAUCUGGUGUCACUAACUCACGAACAUCUAAAGAGUGAUUAAUACGAAGUCUGAAAUAAAGUACUACGUUGUUUGUCCCAGUACAAAGAUAACAAACAAAGAUAGACUAGAAUAGACUCCGGCCAUGCGGAUGCCAGAAAGGCUACCUCGGGAAUCUCUGGACUAAAGUCAGCACCCAACGCUCUUACUGUGGUCCGCAAGCUGCACCAGCUCCGUACUUUGUGCAAAAGGAUGUGCUGAGUGUAGCAUCAGCACAACUGACCCCAUGUGCUGGUAAGUACCUGGCCUAACCCCAGUGAAGUAAUGACGAGGCUAGACAUGACUACCAAACCUAUGCACAUAUAUAUAUAUAUAUACACACACACACACACACACAAGUACAAUAAAAUAACAGUGGAGGGGCAUAUGCUUUUGGGGUUAAUAAAUAAAAUAAAAAGACAGGAAUAAAUAAGGAAAACUACAACUGAUUCCUUCUAACACAGAAUACAUGGUCGGCAUGCCACAAGAUCCCAUUCCAUGAUAUAUAAGUGGUCGGCAUGCCACACGAUCCCAUUCCAUAAUGUAUAAGUGGUCGGCGUGCCACACGAUCUCAUUUCAUAAUAUAUAAGUGGUCGGCGUGCCACAUAAUCCCAUUUCAUAAUAUAUAAGUGGUCGGCGUGCCACACGAUCCCAUUUCAUAAUAUAUACAAUGGUUUUCCGUCAAGGGAACAAGCAUCACUUCAACUAUCCCGCAAGGGAGAAUACAAAUAAACAGUUAAUUUCCGGCAAGGGAGCAACAACAAUAACUUAAUUGCAUAUCUUUCUCUUCUGUUCAUUUCUAACUUCCUCAUCAUGUCAUCAUUCGAGCCAACACUCCAAGGAGUUUACAAAUCGUAUUUCCUUUUCAUACUCUUCACAUUAUAUAGAAACCAUCAAUUAAACAAGGAAGAGUCACUACAGAAUCUCAAUAAUCACAAAUAAAGACUCACGGUCAUGCAAGACACCGGUAUAUAGAUACUCGUUAUCAUGCUUAUACAUCGUACUCAAGAUUUAUAAAUUAACAAAUAAAACUCUAAUCCUAUUCCUUCAAGCCAAAAUUAGAUCGAAAACUUAUCUCGAAUGCUCCAAACUCAACUCAAGCAUCUAGUAUAGCUUUACCCUCGAAUUCGGCUCCAACGCAGCCAAAUCUAUGAAAUAAUGGCUUCACAAUAUUAAUAAUAGCUGAACAAACAAAACCUAAUGCCUAAAUAUUGAUUUCUAAGCUUUCUUUCCAAAAUUUCAAAAAUCAACCCCGGGCCCGCUUGGUUAAAGUUCAAGGUUCGAACCAAUUCCAUGCCACCCAUUCCCCCACGAGCUCGGAUAUACAAUUUGUUUUUAAAUUUGACCCCAAGAUGAUGUCUAAAUCAAAGAAAAUCGAAAAGCCCUAAUUCUAUCCAUUUCCCCUAAUUCUUACCAUACACAACAUGAUUUAGGUCUAGGAAUUUUAUAAAUGAUGAUAGAAAAUGAAGAAAAUGAGUUAGAUAAUACUUACCCAAGAAGACUUGUUUAAGAAGAGCUCUAAGAAUCGCCUAUGGGCUGUGGAGAAGAAGAGCUCGAGUGAAAUGUGGAGUAAAGCCCGUAUCUACUGUUUUGAAUUUUUUAAUAAAAACCACUGGGCAGGCUUACUCUAUGCGUUUGCGACAUGGGUGUCGUGUUCGUGAAGAAGGGAGGCUAGGAAGCAUCACGUUCGCGAUGGGUAUGAUACGAAUACGAAGAAUGAUGUUGUGGGGGGGGGGGGAUCCAGGGAUUAGCCUAUGCACGUGAGGAGAUAAUAUGCGAACACAUUGAAGGGAUUACUGGCACUACGCAAACGCGGGAAGGGGACCGCGAAUGCGAAGGAGGGAGCACUAAGGCAGCGUGAACACGAGCAUGAGGCCGCGAUCGCGUAGAACAAAAAGUCUGUGUAAAAUUGCAGAAAAAUCUGACCCUUUUUCCUAAGUUCAAAACACCCCGAACUAACUCCGAAUCACUCCCGAGCCCUCGGGGCUCCAAACCAAACACACACACUAACUCAACAACAUCUUAUGGACUUAACCGAGCGAUCAAUUUGCUAGAAUAACAUCAUAAACGAGGAAUCAAACCUCAAAUUCAUCACUUUUCAUUCAAACUUCUUAAAUUUCCAACUUCUGAUAUUUAGGUCUGAAACACGUCAAAUGACGUCCGAUUUCGACCAAAUUACACAAAAACAUUAUAAACCAUAUAUAAGACCUGUACCGAGCUUUUGAUAUUUAGGUCCGAAAUACUCAAAUGACGUCCGAUUUUAACCAAUACACACAAAAACAUCUUAAACCAUGUAUAAGACAUGUAUCGAGCGUCGGAACCAAAAUACGGGCCAAUACUAAUGCUUUCUCAUCCAUUUUCAUUUCAAAUUUUCUUAUUAAUUCUAGAAAAAUAAUUUCUUUUAAAAAUUCAUUUAUCGGACUCGGGACCUUGGAUUUUGAUUCCGGGCAUACACCCGAGAUCCAUAUUUUUCUAUGGACCCUCCAGGACCGUCACAUCACGGGUCUGGAUCCGUUUACGUAAAAUAUUGACCAAAGUUAAUUUUAAUCAUUUUAAAGCCAAAUUUCAUUAAUUUUUACAGAAUUUAACAUAUAAGCUUUCCGACUACGCGCCCGGACUGUGCAUGCAAAUCGAGAAGACUAAAAGUGAGGUUUUCAAGGCCUUGGGUACACGAAAAAAGGGAGAAAACAGGUGAUGACCCUUUGGGUUGUCACAAAUGGCCACUAUUUUGCUGUAACAGAGAGUGGUCCAACAUAAUAUACUAGAGUUCGGUGCACUUGGUGUAUGAACUUCCAGCAUAUUAUGCUGGACCAGUAUACUUUGCUGUCUCCAGUAUAAUAUACUGGAGUUCCAGUAUAUUAAACUUUAGUAUUUUUCGGAUUUUGAACAGUGUUUUCGUUCAGAUAUCUUUACAUGAAAAGUGUUAAAUUUCGAUAACUUUUAAAACUGUGACUAUUUCUGAAUGACCACUUGUAAAUCUGGCUAUUUUUUAAUUUCUCCCAUAUAAUGAAGCCCAUCCCCGGUGCUCUUGGAGCAUAUUCUUUUCCUAAUAUUUUACUGUUAAUUUUACCAAAAAAAAUUGGUUAAUUCAAUUUCACCUUAUUAUAAUUCUUUUUACACCUUCAGUUAGUAAAUUCUAUAAGCCAGAUGAAAAUGCUUAUAAAAUACUGUUUAAAUUUCACAAAGUUGUAAUAAUUCUGCUUUGACUUCUUAAAUAUUGAAAUGAAGGACAAUGUAUAAUAUAUUAAAAUUUGCAUAUUGACCACAAAAUAUCCCUAACCGUACACUUGAUAGAAAGACAAUAUUCGAGGGAGUUUGAGUGAAAGGACCAAAAAGACUUCAAAAUGAGGAUGAAAAGCUUUUCAUAUCAAGCUGAGACAAUGGCAAAAUUAAUUAUCACCACUUCCAAUAAUAAUAUUGAAAUGACAUUACAAUCAAAAAUAAAAUGAUGGGUAAGGUAAUACUAUUGAUAUUCAUAUUCCUCCGUUUGGUGAUGAAAUAGAGGAAGAAAAACAAUGGUAGGAGUAACUUUUAGUAUUGUCUUUGGGUCAAAACUUGACCUCAUGGUAAUGAAUGAGAUUAGUGUAUUUAUUAAAGCAUAUUUAUGACUAAUAAAUGGCAUGGCCAUUUAUUCACAAGAUUAUUGGAUAGUUAUCCAAUUUGACAACUAAGGCCACGGCCUGGCCAUCCUCACGAGGGCGUCCCCUCUAUGUGGUUCCAACUCCUUGGGCCAGCUGGCAGAUCUCCUAACUAUAAAUACUAGGAGAAAGAACCUAAAAGAGGGGCUGCUUCAUCUUCUUCGCAUCUCCUUCUAAAAGAAGAGAGAAUACAUCAUUAUAAGACUCUGAACCUCUCCAUGGAGAGGCAGACCGAACCAACAUUAUCAAUAAAAGAUCCUCAUCCUCCUCCCUUUAAUCUAUAAUUGUUCUCUUAUAUUUUAUUUCUUUGGUAUUUGGAUUUAUUAGGAUCUGCUAUGAUUGGCCCUCCAUUUAUUUUGACUAUUUUAUGCUUCUAAAGUAAAUGAAAACUUUGAGCUAAACAAUUUGGCGGCAUCUGUGAGGAUUUCAUAGCAAAAUCACGUAGUUUAUUCUUAGACCAAAAAAGGAAAAUGAACAACCCAGCACGAACGAGCCCAAGCGGCAUAUCGGAUCAUAGGAAGUCAAAAACCUCGAGAUGAGCUUGUUUCCACAUCCCCGCGUCUUCGAGCAAAGGGAAGAAGAAGAAGAAGAAGAAGAAGCAGAUCCUCCAUCCCUAUAGGGAAACUAUGCCUAAGGUACCUCGCCCCUUUCCACACAGGAUCCUGCCAAAAGGGGAAAAAUCACAAAAGCAUCUCUCACAACCGAGAUCUGUAAUGGGGUAACCCACGCGAGCCAGUCGAAAAGACCACAAGCGCAAGUUAGGCAAGAUCUGAAACCAGAAACAAAUCCCACCCCCAAUACGAAGCGGGCUAUGUGGGAAAAAAAAGGUCAACUACGGUUGAACGUCAAUUCGGGCUAUGUUCCUUCACCUAAAAAAAGUUCAACUACGGUUGAACUAGGACUCAGGCUAUGUGCCUUCGACUUCAAAUAUUACAAAGGUUCAACUAUGGUUGAAUGUCAAUUCAGGCUAUGCGCGUUCACCAAAAAGUUCAACUACGGUUGAACGGGGACUCAGGCUAUGUUCCUUCGACUUCAAAUAUUACAAAGGUUCAACUACGGUUGAACGUCAAUUCAGUCUAUGCGCCUUCACCCAAAAUAUUUCAACUACGAUUGAACUGGGCUCAGGCUAUGUGCCUUCGACUUCGAAUAUUACAAAGGUUCAACUACGGUUGAACGUCAAUUCAGGCUAUGCGCCUUCACCAAAAAGUUUAACUACGAUUGAACUGGGACUCAGGCUAUAUGCCUUCGACUUCAAAUAUUACAAAAGUUCAACUACGAUUGAACGGCAAUUCAGGCUACGCGCCUUCACAUAUUACAAAAGUACAACUACGGUUGAACGGAAAUUUAGGCUACGCGCCUUCAAAUAUUACAAAGGUUCAUCUACGGUUGAACGUCAAUUCAGGCUAUGCGCCUUCACCCAAAAAGUUCAACCACGGUUGAACUGGGACUCAGGCUAUGUGCCUUCGACUUCAAAUAUUACAAAAGUUCAACUUCGGUUGAACGGAAAUUCAGGCUACGCGCCUUCAAAUAUUACAAAAGUUCAACUACGGUUGAACGACAACUCAGGCUAUGCGCCUUCACCCAAAAGGUUCAACUACGGUUGGAUUGGGACGCAAGCUAUGCGCCUUCAGAUAUCACAAAGGUUCAACCACGGUUGAACAUCAAUUCGGGCUACGUGCCUUCGACUUAGGCUAUGCGCCUUCACCCAAAAGGUUCAACUACGGUUGAACUGAGACUCAGGCUAUGCGCCUUCAGAUAUCACAUAGGUUCAACUAUGGUUGAACGCCCAUUCGAGCUGCGCGCCUUCGACUCCGGCGACGCGCCUUAAAAAAUUACAAAAGUUCAACUACGGUUGAACAACAACUCAGGCUAUGUGCCUUCAGAUAUUACAAAGGUUCAACUAUGAUUGAACUUCAAUUCAAGCUACGUGCCUUCGACUCAAGCUAUGCUCCUUCAAAAAUAACAAAAGUUCAAUUACGGUUGAACGACAAUCCAGGCUAUGCGCCUUCAAAUAUCAUAAGGGUCCAACUGCGAAUUGGACCAGAACUCAGGCCAAGUGCCCCCGUUACGAAUUGCAAAAUAAUUCAAUUAUGAGUUAACCCUGGACUCACGCUGCACUCCUUCGCCACAAAUACCACCAACUCAACCACGGACGAAUCAAAGAAUUACAAAAGAAUUCAAUUAUGAGUUGAACCACGACUCAGGCUACACGCCUCUGCUACAAAAGCAGCAAACUCAAUCACUGACAAAUCAAAUCCGAGGACACGUUUACGAGAUCAUGAGCCGGGCUGUGAUCAGGCGAGGACAAACGCCUCCAAAUGCCCAACCACGAACGAACUCCGGGUCGGGCCUAGCGCCCUCACCUUUCAAGUAAGUACGACUAACUAGAAACUAAAGUAUUAGCCCGCAUAAAGUUCGGCCAAGUCGAAACUACAAGGCCGCGUUUUUCGUUACCACGGCCAGUAGUUCGAAUAAGCCCGAACUGGGACUAAGGCCAUGUGCCGCCACUACCCAAACACGGCUACAACCCACUUCCCCAAGUGGAGGAAGGUGAUGACCAAGAGCGUCUACCUAUGGCCAAGGCCAUCCGCAUCAAUCGCCUCCUAAGGCGAAGGGUCGAUUAUACAAUGGUCGAACCACCUAAACAGCCGAGACUAUUAACAUGCCCACGGGGGAAACAUUAAAGCAAUGCCCUUGCAAAUGCUCACAAAAAAAUAAUAUAUAUAAUGUAUUCGACACAAAACAAACAGAAAAGAAGAAAACCACAUUUAUUUAUAAUAUUUAAAAGGGAUUACCCCCAAUUACAUUGGACCAAGGCCGGCAAAGAAAAAAGAGAAAAAGAAAACAAAAACUAAACAAACAUUAAAUUUUUUUUCAUUUGUUCACUCGGCGCCCCAAUGCCCCUUUCAGCAUUAUCAGCGCCAUCAACACCCCUGGGCGUAGACGGGUCAAAACCACAGUCGAGGUGGGCUUCAUGAUCCUUUUAGCGUGCCUUCUCAUAAGUGGCCUCAGACACGAUACCGGCUUCCUACAGCCGUCUGUACACGUCGAGCUGGGCCUCGGCAUACGUCAAAGCUCACGAGCAAGACCAAAAGAAGUGGCUUGGUCCCUCAGGAGCUGUUUCUCGGCCUCCAAGGCCGCAAUUCGAUCUGUUGCACCACGGGUGUCCCUCUCACAGACGACAAUACGCCCCUCCAACGAUCGCUCUUGAAAGGUAGCGGCGGCCCUCUCUAAUCCACGCUCCCUUUCUUGGGCACGGUUGGUUGCCUGCAGCGUUUCAACCCUUGCCAGGGCGUCCUUUGCCCGCUUCCUUGAAGUGGCGGCCUCAGUCUCUAGGGCAACCACUUGUCUAGUAAAAUCUUCAGCGGCCUUUGCUGCUGUAGCCAGAUUUUGGAACUUCCUCUCAGCAGCCGCCCUUCUCUCAACAUCCAUCCUCUCGUUCGCUUGGCGGAGCUGCCCCUCAAGAGCGGUUACCCUGCUGAGGGUCUGUUGCAUAUGAAGCUCCCUUCGCGCCAGCUCUUCUACCAGCUCCCGGUUCCGCGGAUCGUUCCUUAUGCGCUUGCACAAGCUGCGACACUGGUCACGGUAGAGGCGGUAUUUCUCCAAUAACCGCACAAAAAUUGCCGAGUGGGCGUUAGCCCGCUUGAUGCUCUCCACCUCCAACAAAAAUAAUGCACCAGCUCUUCUACCAGCUCUCGGUUCCGUGGGUCGUUCCUUAUGCAUUCACGAAUGCCGCGGCACUGGUCACGGUAGCAGCGAUACAUCUCUAACAGCGGCACAAAAAUCGCCGAGCGGACGUUAGCCCGCCUGAUGCUCUCCACGUCCAGCAAAAAUGUCUAGAAAAAACAGAGCGACAGUUAAUACAAGAAGACAUGCUAAGAAAGAAAAUAAACUAAAAUUUUAAUACAUACCUUUAUACUCAGGGCAGCCACCUCGCCCAUCAACCCGACGUCCGAGAUUCCCCUCAGGGACGUGCUCUCCGCUUCCGAGCACAGGACCCCGAACAACAUCACCAGGUUAUCCUCCUCGAGCGGUAGGUUCAGGUCGUUAGGGAUCUCCAAAUUAUGGUAAUCCCGUUCACCCUGCACCGUUGGGCGGGUAUAACCCUCCUAAAAAAGACGGACGUCCUCGGGAUCCAUAUCAGACUCCAAAUCAUCCCCCUUUCCUGAGAUGCCCCUUCCUUCCGCCGCCCUGGAAUUUGAGGCCUCUGCCGCCCGAGACAUCGAAGUACCCACAUUCGCCAUAACAUAGGCGCGUGCAAUCUCCACCAAAAUAGUUGCCGAGGAACUACCUUCCCUCUCAGCAAUAGGAACAGUAACUUGAAUCGCUGAAGCGAUUGUGUCGCCUUGGCCUGAUCCAACCGGGACCACUGAGUGCUCACCGGGGCAAGGUCCACUGUGCCCCCUCCUCCGCCGAUGGCAAAGAGUCUAAAAUAAUCACCACCGGAAGAGCCGGGGUGAACGCCAGCCUGCACCGAGCUAGCAGCCUCCCAUCUUCUUCUUCAGCUUCAUUCGGUGAUCGUUACGCCCUAGAAUUCAUGACCCUUGGAGACUCCUCUACUUGGGGCACGGGCCGUACCGGAGAGUGUGCAGCUGAGGAUUCCACUGAAGUCGCCCUCAGGACCGGGCGAGGCACUGACAUUGUAAUCAAUCGGGCAGUCACCCCCGGCCUGUGGAAAGUAAGCUGAGGAGCCCUCCUGCGCCAUGAUCGUCCUGACCAACCAAAGAAGAAGGGUAAGUCAAAUAAACAAUAGACACGAAAGAAGAUUAAUAACAGCAAAUCAGACUCUCAGAGCAUUUGGCCAAAGGAAAUCAAGGCCAGUGUAAAAGAAACUUACGUGCAUGGUUCCACUCCUAUGGGAAGUCAGUAGCACAGGCCACCAGGUGCCCGGUCCUGAUGUAGAAGAAAUGCUCGUAAUGACGGGUAGCGACCUCCUCAUCAAGCUCCGCAGUUAAGCCGUCGGUCCCACGAGGGACCAACCAAAUCAUGGUGCCGCAUACCCUCUGUGGGGCGUACGGAGUCAACACGUGCCCAAGUGUAAUUUUCCUUCGUGCCAACUCUGUAUAUUUGAUCAACAUCGCCAAUAAUUUGCAACAAGUAGGGACGAGCUGACCAGGGCACACCCUGUAGUAGCGGCAAAAGUCCACCACCAGCAUGGGGAAAGGAAGCCUAAAUCCCAACUUGAAAGGGUAGGCGUAAAAGACGCAGUAACCUUGGUGGUCGACGUGCACCCUGUCACCGCUUUUGGCCAGGACAAUGUCAGCGAAGGGAGGAAUAUCACAUUGCUCCUUCAGCUGAUAAAUGCCACUUUCCCCAUCAGUGGAGCCUCAUCCACUUGAUCUUCUCCCUCGGGGUCGGUAUAAUCGGUGGCCGGACCAUCGAGCAGGGAAAGAAUGUUAGUCACCGACGGGAACCAAUCAACAUUCGGCGAACUGGUGGUUCCCACCACCGUAGAUAGGCCCUCAGCCGCCACAACCCCCAGCGGAGCUAUAUUAGAACGAGAACUUCUCGCCAUUAUCAGUAUAACAAGAGAUAAAUGGCAAAAUUCACCAGAGAAACAAGAGAAUACAAAGAUCCGAUGAAAAUGACGGAGAAUAAAUUAACUAGGAGUAAAAGACUAGAUAAUCUGAAAGCAAGAAGGGUUAUCUCUCUUAGAAUUCCACUUAGACAAAUAUUGGAAAAGUGAGAACUGAACGAUACUACCCUUUAUUUCUAGACAAAGCAUAAAUGACCUUCACAAAUCCCAAAUGUCACCAUUAACUACCUGACCAAUCGCAAAACGGUGCAGGCCUACAACAGCGAGCACCAUUAUGGCAGAUACCAUUGAAUGGUCAUUCAACCGUCAAUCGACACGUCCCCCAUGAAACGGUUAUGACGACCUCAAGAUACCAUGGUCACUCCCCAUGCGUUAACAUUGUGAGCACGUGAUUUUUGCCUGUAUAUGAAUCAUUCCCAUAAAAUUCAAACAAAAAUAAUUUUUCUUUAUUUUACAAUCUUUGUGAAUUUUUGUGUCAUUCUCUAUUAAUUGUUUGCAUUUUUAUUUGUGCAUGAUAAUUCAUAAAAAUACAAAAAUAUGCAUUUUUGCAUCUAGGAAUUAAUAUCACAUUUUAGCAUUAAUUAAAGGUUAAUUUUCUUUAUCAAAAUAUGAAAAUUAUAAAAAAUUAGUUGACUCUUGCUUUUUAAUAUUUUAUUAGGAAUUUAUCAUAAAUUAGUUUUACCCAAUUUUAGGAAUUAGUUAGUCUUUGCUUUGAAGUGCAUUAGGAUUUUAGGUUGAUUUUUCACCUUCAUAAAAUCAAAAAAAAAAAAUACAAAAAAUACAAAAUGAAAAAACAAACAAAAAAAUAAGGAAAUAGAAAGAAAUCAAAAGAAAAGAUUUUAAAAGAGUUGGUCUUGCAAAAGAAAAAUUUUGGGCUGAUUUUUGAAUCAAAAUUGCCUAGCCUAAAGCAAAUUCAUGCCAGCCCAAGUCACACUCAUAUCCAAUCCAAUUGACCCAUCCCAGAGUCGCCCAAACAACGGCGUUUCAGUUUCCAAGCCAUCCUAGCCCUUGAUCUCCCUUUCAAUCCGACGGCCCACAACUUUCUAUGGAAAAUAUUUAACGGUCGGGGAUUAAUUAAAAUCAACGACAAACAAUCUUCUUCCUCGUACAAACCCUAAUUCUCGCUGGAAUCCCUCGCCGGCGGGAAACACUACUUUCGCCGUUGGUCCCCAAAUUAACACCGUCGAUUCCCCUCAACCUCCUCUUCCCAUUCCCCAUGGUUAUAUGCUUCGAAUGUUCCCAGAAAACCUCGAAUGUCUGCUUGAAAUGUUUUGGCCAAAAUGCAAAGUAUGUCAAUUACCACCAAAUUUACGCCACAGGCUCGCCUGAACCUCCUCAUCCCAAGUACCCAAACUGUUUUCUUCGAAUUAUCACCAUGCCUCUCGAAUUUUAUAAUUAAAAUUUUCCGAAAAACCUAAAUUCUCAGAAAGAAUUUCCAAGUCGAUAUCACAUGAUCGGCAAGCCUUCCCAAUGAAGAAACUCACAUGCAAUGGUUGUCCAUUCACAUUAGAGUCGCACGAAGUUUCCUGUAAAGGUUGGCCGGAGUCUUGGUGUGUACCAAUGAGUUCUUAUUCUCCUUUUUUGCUUAUUUCAGUUCAUUUCUUUCUUUCUUUCUUUCUUUCUUUAUUUCUUUCUUUCUUUCUUUCUUUCUGUUUCUAUGCAUGUGUGAGUUCUUGGGCCGAAAUUCUCGAUGUUAAUUUUUGUUUGGUUUUCGGUUGAUUUUAUUGUUACGAUUAGUUUUCGCCUUGCUCGUAAUUAUUUUUUCCUUUUUAUUGCUGGUUAGAAUAAGUGUAAUUGUGUUUUGGGUUUUUAAUUAAGCUGGUGGCUGAUUUUUGGCUUUAAUUUUAUUUCUGAUUGGUUAAUAGGAAUUUGUAGUUUAGUAUAUUAAUCAGGGAUAUUUUUAGACAAGUUACUGCACGUCUUAGUUCAGGGAAAGGGUAAGGGGUCUAGUAUAGUUAACUGUAGUUAGUAAUUUUAGGGGGUAGUGAAGGGUAUUGUGGGAUUUGGUAAUAGGAUACAAUAUUGCGGAUAAUGCUAGAACCUUUUAGAAUAGGGUCGUAGUUUCAAUAUCAGAAAGUUGAGUGUUUUCCUUGAAGCACAAGUUAAUAAAUUAGGUAUUGAAAAUGCAAAUUGAAUAGGGACCUAAAGGGUGAUCUAAAAUAUGAGUUCACCAAUAAAAGGGCAUAGAAAUAGCCUUGAUAGGGGUCUUCUUCCUUCAACCAUUCUGGAGCUCAUUAAACCCUUCUCCAUUCUUCCAAUUUGAAGGAGACCAUCUUAAUUUCAGAAAACACCAAAAAAUAAACAGAAUUCAAAAUAAAAAAUGGCAAUUACUAUUUCAUUGGGAUCUUAGUUUAAGCUCAAGUCCUCUUGAGUAUUUGAUUGUUGUUUCUGAUAGCUACUGGUCGAUUUCAAGGCAUAAUUGAUAGUAAAAUAAACAGAAUUCAAAAUAAAAAAAUGGUAGUUACUAUUUCAUUGGGAUCUUAGUUUAAGCUCAAGUCCUCUUGAGUAUUUGAUUGUUGUUUCUGAUAGCAACUGGUCGAUUUCAAGGCAUAAUUGAUUUCUCAAAUUUUCUAGGUUGUUUUUGAGGCUAUUCGAGUUAGAUUUGUAGUGUUAUUUGAGUUUCAAAUUCAUUCUGUUUGCUGGAUCUGUUCCUGGGUUGUGUGACUUCAUUAUUGGAUUAUUUGAUCAUUUAUAUUGCUGGGGAGUAGUAUUUGCUGCUGUUGUUGCACUGAUUUGCUUACCUCCUUUUUCUUUUUGUUUGAAUCUUCAUUUUCCAGGUACUUGUUCAAAAUUGGCUAGUGUAAGUGUUUGAAUUGAAGCUGGAAUGAAAUGGUUCUUAUGAAAUUACAUGUAUUCGAAUUGUAGCAGAGUAAUAGAUCUGUAUGAACUUAGUUUGAUUUAAUCUAUAUAACUAGGUUAAUGAAAUUGCUUGAUUUGGUUUAGUUUGUAUAAUUGGACUUAUAAACUGUUAUAAUAUUGCCUUCGCUUCAUUUUAAUAUGAUAUAACUUUUGAGUUAGACCUUUAACUGGUUUGUGGUAUGUAAAAGCAGCCGAUGGCUUUUGUUUCUUGGAUACUGAGGUAAUCAACCAUUCUGCGAUUAAAUUGAUACUUGUUUAAAGGGAGAUAACCAUUCUAAUUAGAUUCCAAUCGACUUUAAAGGCUAGUUUGGAAUUUUCAAAGCAUGAUUCAUAAUUAGUUUAAUACAUCCAUUGUUUUGAGUAAACUAUUAGAUUAAUUUUGAUAAGUAUUUGAGUCUGUUUGAUUCUGGGCCAUUUUUAGUUAAAAUAAUUAGGUCGUCAGCGUAUAAUAAAAACGGGUCCAUUUGGUGGGGGUUUGGAUUUGGGAUUUGAAUGAGUUAUCUUGCUAAAAGGACCAUGCUGGUUCAAAAAUUUGAUCCCAGGCAGGGCGUUAGAGCCGCAUGGGCUAAUUUUCAUUAUUGCUGGGCCUGAAACAAUUGGGCCUUAUCACAGCCUAUCGUACAUGCCAGUUUGGGAUAAGAAAUAACGUGAUUUUAGUUUGAGUUGAUAUAAUGCUUUUCAUAAUUAAUAUGAUUUUAUUUCUUUAUUAGGGCAAAAACCAUACAAAAUAAAAAAAAUUGUAGUCACUUUUAGGUUGGCCUUUUAAUAAAAUGUUGAGACGAGUCUCGCCAAACAAAAACAAAUGCGGGGGCCUCGAUAACUAUUAUAAGAAUUGAUUAGAAUAUGGGAGGUCUGUUUCAUGGCCUUCCCCAGAUAAUAUUGCGUCAAAAUUUUUAGAUGCGUUUUAAUUAAAAAACCUUCUUAAACUCGAGUGUGCAUUGAUGCGACCCAAAUCUAAAUCUCGACGAAGACAAAAUGUGUUGAUAACCACGGGUGCCUUUAUGGAGACGGGGUUAGAAACACGUUUUCAUAACGUCGUAAUUCUUAUAAAACAAAUAAUGAUCGAAAAUUGGUUAAAAAAUGGAGACGAGCCUCACCCCCUCAAUACUUGUUUAUAACAAUAAUUAGAAUUUGGAAGGACCGUUUAGCGAAUUUUAAUGUCUUUUUCCCAAACAAUAUUACGUUAGAACCUUUAAACACGAUUUAAUCAAAUUAUUUCCUUAAACUCGGGUGCGCAUUGAUGUGACCCAAAUCCAAAUCUCGACGAAGUCGAAAUGUGUUGACGAACACGGGUGCCUUGAUGGCGACGUAGUCGGAGACACGUUUUCACGACGUCGCAAGUCUUUUAAUAUAAAUAAUGGUAAAAACGAUUUAUAAAUAAAGGGCACAUAAGUUAGCAUGUAAUAAAAUGUGAUAAAAAAUCAAAUACAGCAGUUUAGUGACCGUGCUAGAACCACGGAACCCGGAAAAACCUAACACCUUCACACGGGUUAACAGAAUUCCUUAUCCGGAUUUUGGGUUCGCGGACUGUAAUACAGAGUCAAUCCUUUCCUCGAUUCGGGAUUAAUCCGGUGACUUGGGACACCAUAAAUCUCCCAAGUGGCGACUCUGAAUAAUUAAUAACUAAACCCCAUUCCGAUUGUCCUUUAAUUGGAAAACUCCUUUACGCCCCUUUGCGGGGGUGUAUAUCGAAGAAGGAGGUGUGACAGCUCUAGCGACUCUGCUGGGGAAAGAGAACCUAGAACAUUUUGUUCACGGUUCAGAAUUCAAGCUUAGAUAAAUUGUUGUGUUUGGUUAUAUCUGAUUUUUGUACAUGUUUUAUGCUUAAUGUGCUAAAUGUUACUGCUUUGAUAUUAUCUGAACUGUAUAUAAACUGUGUCGAUACCCUUCUAUCUUCAUCUCCAGGGAUGUGCUUAUUGGUUGAGACUCCUUAUUCUGUUAGUGGCAUACCCUGUUACAAAGCUGGACGAUCCCGCGGGUCAUCGGUACGUUUCUCCCUCCUCGACUCGAGUUGUCUGCUCGGGUACACUGUCUAGAACACCGACCCAGGUUUUGAACAUAGAAUAACUUGACUUCAUACUAGAGCCCUAGUAGGAGCGCUUAUUUGCAUCAUGCUAUAUUUGACUUAGGGGACUCAACACAGGGGUUGGGUCCAUCUAGGGCUAGCAACCUGAAAUGAAAAAGACCAUCCUGGUGCAUCCUACUUGUUCCGUGCAUUUAUUUGUUCGAACCUACACGUUGACCGGUUUUGAAUCUUGGAAUGUGAGAAAAGUAAAAAAAAAUAGAGAAAAUGAGAGAAAUAGCAGUUAGGGAGUUAAUAUUUGAAUAAAAUCUAGUGCCCAAGUACUGUCGAAACUCUGCCGUAAUUUUGAAAAAACAAAAGAGGAAAAAAAAGAAAAUGUUUUUUAUGUAAGUUUUUUUUGUUAAAGGCAAAAGAAUAAUAGAAAAAGAAUCGUUUAUUUUGGGGAAAAAUUGUCUGAAAAAUAGAAAAAAAUGGUCAUUUCGAUUUGAUUUCAAAAAUUAGUAAAUGGAGUAAAGCUUGGAGAAGGUUUUGAUUUAAAAAAAAAAUCUCUCAAGACUUAGAUUAACGCUCAGCAUUUCCCUUGAACAGCUAAACCCGAUGAAAAGGCGAACCUGCUCUCCCUUCGGGUCACCCAUUCAGGACCUUUUGGAUCCAAUCCAGGAAAGCAGAAAGCAAAGCCUGGUUCAAGCAUGACUGGCAUCAGUUUCUAUUAACUGUAUCUGCUUAUCAGCAAAGAAAGUUUAAAUAUAGCUUAUCCUUCAAUCAAUCUCUAUGCUUCAUUUUAAUUAGCUAUAAGCGUAACAAUGCCAUGCUGGCAUUAUCGACAAAUCAAGAAUGGAAGAAGGAUCCAAUCAACUUUGGUGUAAAAGAUCUCUUUCAAUCUUCUCCCGGUCUUUCAUUUCAGGUAAGAAAUCUGUUUACUAGUAACAGUUUACAGAUAAGCUAUCUCAGAAUGUAGAACUCAGAUGGGCCUUCCAAUCCUAUGGAUCUUAGCUGCCCGGGAUAUGAGUUAUGCUUUUCCCGUUUUUGUUGGAAAGUACCUUUCACUUUCAUUGGCAUGCAGGAUUCACUUCACAGUCAAUUUUUUUCUUCUUGACAGAAAGCAUUCCAUCCUUCCCUUCCUUCAUUGAUUGAUUCUAUUUGAUUUAAAAAAAAAAUUUAGUUAGUUAUUUGCUCGAACUACGCCGGUUUGAUUCGCAGGGUGUGGGAUACGUAGGCAACCCUCAUCGGGUCCAACAUUUCUUUCGAAAAAUAGCCAAAUGUCAAAAGGUUUCAAUUUGUGUCAUAAAUAAGUUAGGUGACGCUGUGUGCAAGAAUAGCCGAACGUUCUCAAACGGGAUGCCGGAAGGGUGACUUUGCAUAAACAACCACCUUUUAUCAUAUUUUAAUUUUUGGACCCUCACAACCUUAAAAUCAACGUUCCCGAGGCAAUGAAAGGCCGUGUUUACAAUACCGGGUCAUUUAUUUAUAUAUUUGAAAAUGUAAAAAGAGUCGUAGAAGUUGAGUGAUGCUGUUUUUGAAAAAACAGCCGAACGUUCCCAAACGGGACGCCGGUAGGCUGACCUUGCGUGAAUGGCCACUUUUAGUCAUGACUUUAUUUUUGACCCUCACGGCCUUAAAUUCGCGUCCCCGUGGCGUUGAAAGGUCAUGUUUUCAACCUUUGGUAUUUUAUUUUAAUUUGAGAAGCAAGAAGAGUCAUAGAUAAGUCAAGCAAGGUCGUUUUGUUAUAAAUCGCCGAAUGUUCCCGAAAGGGGCGCCGGAAGGCUGACUUUGCAAAAAAGACCAUUUCUGUCCGAUUGAUUCGCACAGCCUACAAAUCUUCGUUUCCGAAGUGCUAAAAGGCCGUGUUUUGAAAACUGAGUUUUUUGUUUUUUUAAAUUUUGAAAGGGAAUAUAGAUAGUUUUGUUUUUGAGUUGAAUAUAAAUUUUUCUUCUUUUUAAUCGCCUUAAUAAAUAUGCAGGAUGAACACAAUGAAAAAUGAACCUUUUUCAAUAUUAACCAAAGUCCCUUUCGAGUUUAAAUUAUGGUGGAAUGAUUUGGGCAAAAAGGGGCAGGAUGAAGUGAAGAAAUAUCUGAAGGGUCUCACGGGUUUGUUAGACAUCAAUCCUCGAGGUUAUAUCAUCAGAGCGCUGGUUACUUUCUGGGACCCAACACAUAAUGUUUUUCACUUCUCGGAUUUGAGUUAACUCCAACUUUGGAAGAAAUAGCUGGGUACAUCGGAAAUGAUGAGAUUCCACUAAAAGAACAAUAUCCGAUUGCUCCAAGAUCCAUCACAGUGCAGCGGGUUUUAGAUAUGUUGAAGAUACCCAGGACAGUUCACAAUCCAGAUUUGGCAAAGGGUUUCUGCACUCCCCGAUUCAUAUACGAUAGAUACGGUCAUGUGGGAGGGUUCAACAACUCGGGUAUCAAGCUAUGCAAUAAAAAUAACAGAUGAAAGUGGACACUCCCUGAUUCAUAUGCGAUAGAUACGGCCAUGUGGGAGGGUUCAACAACCCGAAUAUCAAGUUAUGUAGUGGAAAUAACUGGCGGAAGUGGGAGAAGCACAGAAGAGUGGCCUUCAUGAUAACCGUUUUGGGCAUCUUAGUGUUCCCAAGGAAAGAUGGGAAUAUUAAUAUAAAGAUGGCCGGGAUCGUUAGUGCUUUGCUUAGCCAUGGUGGAAGUACUCUCGCACCUAUGAUCGUGUCCGACCUAUUCCGAGCUCUUACUGCCUGUAAAGCCAGGGGCACUUUUAUUGAAGGGUGUAAUAUGUUGUUGCAGAUAUGGAUGAUCACGCAUAUGUGCUACCGUUCCCAGUUUUUGAGUUAUGGUUUGCCCGAUAAAACUUGUAUUGUGAGAGUUUCACACCAGAACUGAUGGGGUUAGUUUUCCAGAAGGUGUAAAGGCAUGGGUAUCGUACUUCCGGACGCUCAAGGCCAAUCAGAUACAGUGGACUUUGGGAUGGUUUCCCGUAGGAGAAAUCAUAUACAUGUCAGCUGCCGGGUCACAUUUCCUUCUGAUGAGGCUGCAUAGCAUCCAACCUUAUGCUCCUUAUCGGGUUCUAAGACAACUUGAGAGAUAUCAAAUAAUCUUACUAAAGGAGGAUUUGAGCACUCAAGUGAUUGAGAUUAGCCAGGAUGGACAGUUUCCUGAAGCAAGAGUUCGCCGAGUGUGGAAUGAAGGUCAAUGCUUACAACCAGAUACAUGUGUGGUGGAUCAGGCCAGGGGUGAAGUGGUGCCAAAUUACCUCAUGUGGUACAAGAGAGAACUUGAACAUCAGAGGCCAGCUAAAAUACCUCACGUCCAAGAUUUGUUGAAACAUCACGAGAGAAGUGGGAUUGGGUAGCGAAGGUAGAUGGUUACCGAGCUGAGAUUGGGAAGCUUAAGAAACAAGUAGAAAGUUUGAAAUUUGAAAAUAGUGUACAGGUCGCUGCGGAUCAGGGUGAAAAGAAUAAAUUGGCCCAAGAAAACGCAGAGCUUAAGUCCCAAGUCCAGCAAUUGAGAGUAGCCUUCGAUAAACAACCGAUGAGUCAAUCAGAUGAACGAUUGAUUAAAGGGUUAAGAAAUGAGGUUAGGGAGUGCCGGGAUGAGUUAGAAAAUUUGAGAGUGUUAUGGCAGGGAUCAAAGCACAAUGGGCUACAAGAGCAGCAGAGCGUCGCCAAUACUUGAACCAACUAGAAAGGGACAACGAGAAAGUUGUUGACACUAUGAAGAGAAAAGUGGCUUACCUUGAGGGAACAGCAGCCAGGCAUGCCAGGGAUUUCAAGAUUGAAAGUGGACAGUGUUACGAUCUUAUGGCCCGAAUGGAGGUAGAGGUGCAAUAGUUGCAAAAUCAACACCUACAAGAUUCUUGGGCAUUAAAGACAUGCACUGACCAGCUAGAGCGCUGUCUUACAGAAAAGAUGCGAACAAGGGACCGGAUUAGAUCCAAUUCUUGGGAUAUUUUUAGAAGAUGCCGGGUCUAUGAGGAUAUGCCCCAUACGACUUUCGUCCAUGCAGUGCGGAUCAAUGUGAAUCAAGUAGUGAAUGAAUUAGACCACCUCAAAAGGGACUUGGUACCUAGGCCCACGGCGAGGCCGAACGACGCCCCGCGGGAACCUAGAUUUGAGUCAUUAGAGUAUGAGUAGGUUGUGUCUGUAUCUUUUUCUAUUUUACGUCUGUUUGCCCGUUGUUUUUCAUAUCAAAGUGAGUCUGUAGUUGGUAUUUAGUCUUAGUUUGUAUCUGUAAUUUCCUUUUGCAAAAAUGUUUAGUUUGUAAUAAUUUGUGUAAGUAAUGAAAAUUUGAAAAUUCCCAAAAAUUGUUUUCAUUUUAUUUUCGCACUUAUUUUCACGAACAACACUUGAUCUGAUUCGUGUGGGGUCACGAUACGUAGGCAAUCUCCAUAGGAUUCGACCGUAGUCUCAAACAAAAAGAAAAAAAGAAAUGGAGGAAAAGGAAAAGAAAGAAAGAAAAGAGUGGUAAAACAAAAACGAGAAUAAAAGAAAAUAAAAGAAAGAAAGAUAUAUGGAAAAACAAAAGGCGAGAAUAAAAGAAAAGAAAGAAAAGAAGAGCGGAAAAAGAAAAGGUAAGAAUAAGAGCGGAAAAAGAGAAAGAGCGAAAAAACAAAGGUAAGAAUAAGAAAAGAGAGAAGAAAGAAAGGAGCGGAAUAGAAUGAUAAAAUGAAACAAAAAGGAAUGCCGGGAUGAUACAUGUGGGCGAACAAAUGCGUAAUAGAAAUGGUUAACUAUAUAGGUGCAUUAAUGCCAACGUUCGGUAAUCAAAUCUGUUAAAGCCUAAUCGUUAACGAAGUGGUUGUUUGAAUUUGUGUGUACAGGCAGGUGGUUAGUUGGUUUGCAAUUCUGGAAACUCACCAUUACAACACCCGAUCGAAGGAUAAAGAAAUGACUGGACAGGAUUCAGAUACUAGUAUUGUGGACCCCAUGAAAGAGGUCGAGGUGACCGAUAUGGGGGCUAUGAAAGAAGAAAUGAAGAAGUUGAAAGCCCAAAUGGAUGCCAUGCACCGGACUUGGUCUCAGGGGCACCCAGCACCAUUAUACCCCGCCAACCCCUCGUAUAUCCCACAUCGAUGUGGGGGCUAUGAAAGAAGAAAUGAAGAAAUUGAAAGCCCAAAUGGAGGCUAUGCAUCUGGCUUGGUCUCAGGGGCACCCAACACCAUUAUACUCGUCCAACCCCUCUUAUAUCCCGCACCUAACACAGGAUCAGGAGUCUUCCACUCCCGAAACAUCCCCACCCUACAAAUAUAACACCCAAGGGUAUGCCACUACUUCAUAUGCUCCACCGGCUCCACCACCCAAGUAAAAUCCUCCCCCGCCCAUGGCUCCAAUCUUUGUGGAUCCUUCUCCAUCUCCAUUACAAAGGUCCUCUAAUGAACCACUAUUUCAAGCCCAUGACGCACAAUAUUACCCUCCUGAACCCACCUUUAAGGCUCCUGAGCCGUACUCAUAUAACCCUCAUUUUGAGAUCCCACCAGAAGUCCAGAAACCAGUUAAAAAUGCAGAGCAUGAGGAAGUGAUCAGAAAAUUCAAAAGCCUGGAGCAAUCCUUCGGGAACAUGCAUCGAUUGGGCAGCCAGGUCAGUGUUGCCUAAAAGGAUUUAUGCCCUUUCCCAGAUGUACAGCUACCCGCGAGGUUCAAGAUGCCUAAAUUUCACCUGUACGUUUUAGGAGCAUGCACGGGUUGGGCAGCCAGGUCAGUGUUGCCUAUAAAGAUUUGUGCCCUUUCCCAGAUGUACAGCUGCCCGCGGGGUUCAAGAUGCCUAAAUUUGACCUGUACGAGGGACAUGACGACCCGGUGGACCACCUCCGCAGAUUCUGCUGUAAGAUGAGAGGUGCUGGGGGAAAACAUGAAUUACUGAUAGCAUACUUCGGACAAAGUCUGAGCGGGUCUGCAUUGGAGUGAUACACCAGACAGGACCCUAGCCGACGGUAUACGUGGGAUAAUCUUGCACAUACAUUCAUUGGCCAUUUUCAAUACAAUCUCGAGAUAGUCCUUGAUCGUCUGUCAUUGCUGAAAUUUGAGAAGAAGCCGGGAGAAAGUUUUAGAUAAUUUGGUUUCCGAUGGAGAGAGCAAGCAGCCAGAGUGGAUCCCCCAAUGACGGAAAAAGAGAUGGUAGACUAUUUUCUGCAAACGUUGGAACCAUCAUACUUCGGUCAUCUAGUGACUUCUGUGGGUAAAUCGUUUAAUGAAGUAGUGAAGAUGGGUGCCAUGAUUGAAGGGGGUUUAAAGUCUAACAAAAUCUUGAGUUAUUCAGCACCAAAAGCAACCACAUAGGCCAUACAAAGCGGUACUGGUGGUGUGCUAGGAAAGAAGAAGAAGGAAGAACUGGCCACAGUGGAAACUAGCACCUGGUCCAGGCCCAACAAUCCUCCACCCUACUAUAGCCAACCCAAACCCCAUCACCCAAACUACCCAUAUACCCCAUACGGCCCACCACAAAACUACUACCCACCACUAGAACCACACUUCUUUGUCCACCAUGCCCAGACAUAUACACAUCCUCCGGCGCAUCCGCUAUGGCGUGUGCCGGCUCCCCAAAACACAUAUACACCUCCACAAAACACCUAUCCACACCCCAGGACUACAUACCAGGACCCGGCUUUCGCCCAGACCAAACUUUUUGAAAUGAGAGGGCCCCAAACAAAAGAACUUUUACCCCGUUGGGAGAAUCUUACACCGCUUUAUUCCAUAGACUGAGAGUUGGGAAUGUUAACCCUAAUCGAGCCCAAAGUACCCAACCCACCUCCCAGAAACCUAGACAAGUCCGUCAGCCGUGAGUACUACUCGGGAAUGCCGGGGCAUGAGACUGAAAAAAUUUUGGAAGUUGAAGAAUACGGUACAUGAGCUUAUUGACAACCGCCAAAUUGAAGUAUAGGGCCCGAAGGCUCCAAACAUCGAUCAGAAACAGCCGCCAUCACAUCACGAGACUAACAUGAUUGCGUUGGUACACAAGGAUGGAGAGGAAGAAACUUUCACAAACCGUGAUGAUGAUUCGUGCUAUUGGGACCAGUUCAAAAGAGAAGAUGACUCGGGGAUAGGUAGGGGAGAAGAUGAAAGGUGCAAGUCACAAGUUAGUGGUAGUGAUGGGGAAAGAAUUAUCUGUUGUUGCAAAGAAAUUGGAACCAGUUAAGUUGGUGGUACCAAGGGCGUCACCCGCGCCCGUGGUUGUUGUGAAAUGUGCUUACAUAGAGCCAGUGAUCAUCAAGCAUGUAGUCCAGUUACCCAUGGUUGAUAGAAAAGCUGUGCCAUGGAAAUAUGAGAAGAUGAUAGUAACAUACAAGGGAAAAGAAAUUGAGGAGGAGAGCUGUGGGGCGCAAGGGUUGACUCGAUCGGGGCGUUGCUUCGCUCCCGAGGAGUUGAGAAAGGCUAGGGCUACUAAAGACAAUCCAGUGUUGAUCAAGAAGGCUGUUACAGAGGAGGAAGCAGAAGAGUUCCUUAGAAAGAUGAAGGUACAAGACUAUUCUAUUGUCGAGCAGCUAAGGAAAACACCGGCCCAGAUUUCGUUGUUGUCAUUGUUGAUCCACUCUGAUGAACAUCACUGAGCCUUGAUGAAAAUAUUAAAUGAAGCCCAUGUGCCUGAUAAGAUUUCACUAAACCACUUGGAGACAAUUGCUAAUAGAGUCUUCGAUGUAAAUAGGAUAACAUUUUCGGAUGAUGAGUUGCAUGUGGAAGGAACAAAACACAAUCCCUUUCAGUCAAAUGUGAAGAUUCAGUAGUGACCAGAGCAUUGAUAGAUAAUGGGUCUAGUGCCAAUAUUUGCCCGAUGUCUACACUGAACAAGCUAAAGAUCGAUAAUGACUGAAUCCACAGGAAUAAUGUGUGUGUCUGAGGGUUUGAAGAGAGCGGAACAGACACGCUGGGGGACAUUAUCCUCGAGUUUACCGUCGGCCCAGUUGAGUUUACAAAUCCACAGGAAUAGUGUGUGUUUCCGAGGGUUUGACGGGGGCGGGACAGACAUGGUGGGGGACAUUAUCCUCGAGUUGAUCAUCGGCCCAGUUGAGUUUACCAUAGAGUUACAGGUGUUGGACGGUGCUGUAUCAUACAAUCUUUUGUUGGGACGACCAUGGAUCCAUACAGCUAAAGCAGUGCCUUCCUCAUUGCAUCAAAUGGUUAAAUUUGAAUGGGACAGGCAAGAAGUGGUGCUACAUGGAGAAGACCCCAAAAGCGCUGCAGGCGAUGCUAUUGUGCCCUUUAUAGAAACUGAUGACGAUAAGGGGCCGUGGGUCUAUAAGAUUUUUGACACGAUCACUGUGAACAAGGUACCAGAGGGUAAAAACAUCCCACGUCCCCGAGUAGCAGCUGCAACCGUCAUUGUGGUUUCAGAAAUUAUGGGUAAUGGGUUUGUCCUGGGAAAAGGUUUGGGUGCCAAGCUUUAGGGUAUUUUUCAACCCAUUUCUUUGCCCAAGAAUUUAUACACCUUUAGGUUGGGGUUUAAUCCAACAACAGAAAAUAUCAGAAGGGCCCGCAAGUUGAAAAAGAAAGCUUGGGUUCUCCCCAAACCAAUUCCACGUCUGUCCAAAUCCUUUGUUAAGCCGAGGGCCAAAAAGCAGUUAGCAACACAGGAGACGGGUUCAUUGAUUGCAGAAGAGGGGAAUUUGGAUGAAGUGUCUGAGAGGGUAUUUGCUGAAGUAAACAUGGUUCAGGCUGGUGAAGGUUCCAUUAAUGCAAACAUUCAGUACGUUGGGACACAUGCUAGGAUCAAUAAUUAGGAAGCCACUCAUCUGCCCGUUUGGAGGGAGUCUCGGUAGUGGAGCUUUGUUUUUCUUUUUGUUUUCACCUGGAUUAUUCCAGGGUUUUCAAUCCUCUUGACUAUGUUCCGUCCAUUUGGAUAAGCUAAGCCCUGUUAUCUUUAUGUUUUAAUGAAAUGCAAUUUCCUUUCCUUCUUCUUUCCUAAUUUUGUUUCCAUUUUUCUUUUCUUUUAUGUACAGUUCUUUUUAUGCUGAUAUCAGUGACAUGACAUGCAUGAGGACAUCUUGGCCUAGUUUUAUAGGCCAACCUAACUCAAAAAUAAUAAUACCUUUACAGUUAUUUUUAUGUUGAUAUCAAUGACAUAACAUGCAUGAGGACUUCUCGGCCCGGUCUUAUAAGCCAACCUAACUCAGAAAUAAUAGUACAAGAAAUUGAAUGUGAUGAUAAAGAGGAAUACGAUGAUGAUGAAGCCUAUGAGGAAAUUAGUAAGGAAUUAGAACACUUUGAGGAAAAACCCAAACUGAACUUAAAUGACACAGAAGCAGUUAAUCUAAGGGACCAAGAUAAUGUCCGAGAAACUAAAAUAAGUGUUCAUCUGGAGCCGCCGCUCACGGAAGAAAUAAUCGUGGCAUUGUUGGAAUAUAAAGAUGUUUUUGCUUGGUCCUAUGAUGAUAUGCAGGGGAUUGAGUACCGAUUUGGUGGCUCAAAAAUUGCCUACUGAUCCAUCACUCCCACCUGUUAAGCAGAAACUGAGAAAGUUCAAAACAGACAUAAGUGUGAAUAUUAAUGAAGAGAUAACUAAACAAUUUGAUGCAAAGGUCAUUCGGGUUACACGGUAUCCCACCUGGUUAGCUAAUGUUGUGCCUGUACCAAAGAAAGAUGGCAAAACCAGGGUGUGCGUUGAUUAUUGAGAUCUUAACAAGGAGAGUCCAAAAGAGUACUUUCCAUUGCCAAACAUCCAUAUAUUGAUCGACAAUUGUUCCAAACAUGCGGUUGGUUCUUUUGUGGAUUGUUAUGCGGGUUACCAUCAGAUCUUAAUGGAUGGGGAAGAUGUAGAGAAGACGAUAUUCAUCAUGCCAUGGGGAACAUACUGCUAUCAGGUCAUGCAAAUUGGUUUGAAUAAUGCCGAGGCAACUUACAUGAGGGUUAUGACAACGAUCUUCCCUGAUAUGAUAGAUAAAGAGAUUGAGGUGUACGUAUAUGAUGCGUAUGUGAAAUCAAGUAAGAAGUAUGACCAUGUCAGGGAUUUGAGAAAAUUCUUUCAAAGGCUACACAGGUACAAUCUCAAGCUCAAUCCUGCAAAGUGUGCUUUCAGGGUGCCAUCUGGAAAGUUUCUAGGGUUUGUAGUCAGUUGCCGGGGUAUUGAAUUGGAUCCAUCAAAGAUUAAGACCAGUCAAGAAUUGCCGCCUCCGAGAAACAAAACUGAUGUGAUGAAUUUUUUGGGAAGAUUGAAUUACAUUAGUAGGUUUAUUGCUCAGCUCACAACUACUUGUGAACCCAUUGUCAAACUGCUAAAGAAGGAUGCUGCGAUUAAAUGGACGGAUGAAUGUCAAAAAGCUUUUGAUAAGAUAAAGGAUUAUUUGUCGAAUUCGCCCGUGUUGGUUCUGCCAGAACCAGGGAGGCCUUUGAUUCUGUAUCUGAUGGUCUUGGAUAAUUCAUUUGGCUGCGUACUGGGGUAGCAUGAUGCCACAGGUAGAAAGGAGCAGGCAAUCUACUAUCUCAGCAAGAAGUUUACAUCUUACAAGGUUAAGUAUACUCAUCUUGAGAGGACGUGUUGUGCUCUAACUUGGGUAGCACAGAAGUUGAAGCAUUAUUUAUCGUCAUACACUACUUACCUCAUAUCUCGGUUAGAUCCACUAAAGUAUAUUUUCCAGAGGCCUAUGCCCACGGGAAGGCUUGCAAAGUGGCAUAUCUUGCUUACGGAAUUUGAUAUCAUCUAUGUGACGCGGACCGCGAUGAAAGCAUAAGCCUUCGCUGACAUUUAGCUGAGAAUCCAGUUGAUGAUGAUUAUGAGCAUUUGAAAAAACUUACUUCCCUGAUGAAGCGGUAAUGCAUAUUGAUGAGUUGGAGCAGGUAGAGAAACCAGGAUGGAAACUGUUCUUUCAUGGAGCAGCAAACAUAAAAGGCGUGGGAAUAUGAGCCGUACUUAUUUCUGAAACAGGUCAGCACUAUCCUGUUGCGGCUCAGCUUCGUUUCUAUUGUACAAACAACAUGGCAGAAUAUGAAGCAUGCAUUUGGGGUUGAGAUUAGCUGUGGAUAUGGGUGUCCAGGAAGUCUUGGCCAUGGGUGACUCGGACCUACUGGUACACCAAAUCCAAGGAGACUGGGAAACGCGGGAUUUGAAAUUGAUACCAUACUGACAGUGCCUGCAUAAGCUUUGUCAAUGGUUUCAAAAAGCUGUGGUGGAUUUUGUGCAUGCGAACAUUAUUUGUCGGUUUGGUAUACCAAGGGUGAUUAUCACGGACAAUGGGGCUAAUCUCAACCGUCAUUUGAUGAAGGAAACAUUUGAGCAGUUCAAGAUUACUCAUCGUCAUUCUACUUAGUACCGCCCUAAAGAAAAUGGAGCGGUUGAAGCGGCCAACAAGAACAUAAAGAAAAUACUGCAGAAAAUGGUUGAAGGGUCUAGACAAUGGCAUGAGAAGUUGCCUGUUGCAUUGUUGGGAUAUUGCACCACCGUUCUUACUUUGGUGGGGCGACUCCUUAUUCAUUAGUGUAUGGCACCGAGGCAGUAAUACACGCGGAAGUGGAGAUCCCGUCACUUCGAAUCAUUGCGGAGGCUGAGAUCGAUGAUGAUGAAUGGGUAAAGACCUGUCUGGAACAAUUGAGUUUGAUCGAUGAGAAAAGGUUGGCAUCUGUGUUCCAUGGUCAACUGUACCAACGAAGAAUGGCAAGAGCGCAUAACAAGAAAGUGCGUCCGAGGAAAUUCGAGGUUGGACAGUUGGUGCUGAGGCGUAUUUUGCCCCAUUGGGCUGAAGCAAAAGGAAACUUCGCCCCAAAUUGGCAGGGACCGUUUGUUGUGACCAGAGUGUUGUCUAAUGGUUCACUGUAUCUGACAGAUGUUGAAGGAAAGUGCAUAAAAAUGACCAUCAAUUGUGAUGCUGUUAAAAAAUAUUAUGUAUGAUUUCCUUAUUCUAAAUAUACUUGUUUGUAUUUGGAAUAUUUUAAUGAUUGAAAUGAUGAAGGUGUUUUGUUCUGCUAUCCAAACAUUUUUAUCCUUUGUUACCCCUUUGAGCCUUAAUUAUUUUCAUUCAUACACCUCUUUCGGAAUCAACGACACGAUCAAGAAACGCAGCUGCCAAGCAUAAAGUAAAGAAGGAAAAUGAAAAAACAAAGAAGAAAAAAAAGAAGAGAAGAAAAAGAGAGAAAAAAAGAAAACAAAAAAAAUGAAAAGAAGAUAAAAGAAAUGAAAAGAAAAGAAAAAGAAAGAAAAGAAAAAAUCACAACAAAAGUAAUUACGAUAAAGUGAACUACGUUUGUCUUGAUCCUGAAAGGGUAGGUAGGCAGCCUUACUCUGAGGUUCAGUCACACCAAAAUAAAAAUCCGAAAGUCCCCAAGCAAGAAACUGGGGCAGAAGUUGUGAUUCGUUGGGAGAUAUUGGAUUCCGAAAGUUGUAAGUUUAACCCAUUAGAAAUUAUUUUGCCUUUUAUACUCUUUUUUUCUAACCAAUCCAAAAGCCUGCAUUACGGUCCAAAGAAAGACCUUCUGAUCAAUUUUUGAGGAAUGCCAAGUCAAGCAUGUAGUGGUAAUUCGUGGCAUUGGCAAUACUCUGGUUCAAGCAAGAAAAACAAAAGAGAAAAAAAUGAGAGAGUCUUACUGGUGAAAACCCUUACGGGCACCGUAAGGCGAUGGGAGAUGAGAGAAAAUAAAAUGAGAGAGUCUUAGUGGUGAAAACCCUCACGGGCACCUUGAGGUGAAAGUAAGGUGAGAAAUGGCAAGCGGAGAAAGUCUGUUGGCGAAAAUUGUUCGUGGCUACGUAGGAUAAAUGAGGUUAAGGUUUGGGUAAAGUAAUCAAGAGAUGGAAGCUCUGGGAAAUGAAGUAUGACAAUUGAAGAGCUGGUUAGUUGGAUCGGUUGGGCUGGUUAGUCUGAAAUGCAUGUCGUGAUCACUGGUGCCAGCUGUUCCGGUUAGAUAAGUUUCUUUUUUUUCCUUUUCAACAGUCAUCUGGUUUUGGAUUCCUUUUAUCCUUAACUUAUAAAAUUAUUGCAUUUCAUUCUCUUUCGGGGGUUUCGGUUUGUCUAUAUAUUCCAAUGUCAGUUUUGUUCAAUAAAAGGAGAAAAGAUUUCAAAGCCCACUGCCAGCUUCUGAAAAUGGUAAAGCGUAAUGUGGCCUGAGCAAGUCAGCAACAAUGUGAUGUAAAUUUAAAUAGGGGGAGUCGCCGGAAGUUUCAUCGGCAGAAUAUUUGGGAAAUGUUAUGGGAAAUGUGGAGGUUCACGCAAAGAGAGUCGGAAAGGAGAAACAACAGCGGCAAUACAAAAGCAUUCAGGUUGGCAGAAGUUGGGGAACGUGAAAGUCGGUCAGAAAGUGAGGCAGCUCAGAGGAAGUCAGGCAACACAAGGCAAGACAAUGGGAGGAUGAUGCAGCAAGAACGCCAUCAACUAACCACCAUUUUUAAACUAACAAAAUUUUCGGUUAUUGAAACAGGGGCAGAAAAUUGUUUGUCAGGAGGAAUUCUCCGUGAGAGAAAAGCAUGCACUAAUCAAGUUUAAUCGCAAGUGUGUCAUGGGUAAAAUGCAAGAAAGUAAGGAGUGGCAUGAAAAGAUGUUGAAGUCAGGAACCCGCCUGAAAAACAGAGGAGUACAUUUCAGUAUUUAAAUGUUAAGAUUUAUACUUCAGUCUUAUCGCAAUUCAAGUUUUAGUUCCAAUCCUUUUUUAGUAUGUGGUAACAAGACCCUAGUUUUCCCAAACUGGGGCAGAAAAUUUUCGUUGUCUUAUCUAUUUUUGUGAAAUCGGGAGGAAUACAUUUCAGUCAGCAAUCAGGAGCCCACCAAAAGAAUAGAGGUGAUACAAUUCAAGGUGUUUGUUUUAAAUCAAUUCCUUCGUUUAUUUCGGUAGUAAGGUGCCCGCCUGGAGAACAGAGGUCCGCAUUUCAAAUUUCAGAAGUCAGGAGUCCGCCUGGAGAAUAGAGACGUGCACUUAGAAUUUUGAAGUCAGGAGUCCGCCUGAAGAAUAGAGACAUGCAGUUUAAUUGUUUUUGAAGUCAGGAGUCCGCGUGAAGAAUAGAGACAUACAAUUUACUUUUUUGAAGUCAGGAGUCCACCUGGAACAGAGACAUAUAUUUCAAUUUCAGCAUUCAGGAGCCCGCCUGGAGAACGGAGGCAUACAGUUUAAAUUUCAGCAGUCAGGAGCCCGCCUGAAGAACAAAGGCAUGCAGUUUUAAUUUUUGAAGUCAGGAGUCCGCUUGGAGAAUAGAGACAUACACUUCAAGUUAGCAAUCAGGUGUGUGCCUGAAGAACAAAGACAUGCAAUUCAAGUAUGGAGUCAGGAGCCCGCCUGAAAAAUAGAGGUGAUAUAAUUCCAAUUUUAUUUCUCUAUCAAUAUUCUUGUCUGUAUUGAAGUCAGGAGUCCGCCUGGAGAACAAAGACAUACAAUUCAAAAUCAGUAGUCAGGAGUCCGCCUGGAGAACAGAGACAUAUAUUUCAAGUUUUAGUGAUCAUGAGUCCGUCUGAAGAACAGAGACAUAUAUUUCAAUUCCAGCAAUCAGGAGCCCGCAUAAAAAAUAGAGGUGGUACAAUUCAAUGUGUAGUGUUCAGACAAUUUCCUUGUCUAAUUUGAAGUUAGGAGUCCUUAUGGAGAAUAGAGACAUACAAUUCGAAUUUUAGCAAUCAGGAGCCCGCCCGGAGAAUCGAGGUGCUAAAUCUUCAAGUAUUUGAGAUAAGGAGCCCGCCUGAAGAACGGAGGUAUACAAUUCAAGCUUCAAAAUUAGGAGCCCGUCUGUAUAACAGAGAAAGUUUUCUUUGUUUUGUCUCUGAAGUCAGGAGUCCACCUGGAUAACAGAGGAAUACAGUCAAGCUCAAAUUCAGCAAUCAGGAGCCCGCCUGGAUAACAGAGGUAUACAUUCAAGUUCAAGUUUAUUGAAGUUCAGCAAUUUGGAGGGAAGGAACAACAUCUCCAUGCACAAUUUGAAGUAACAACAACGAGUUUCACCAAAGAAAACACAAGACAACAAGGCAACAAGAGAAAAUACAAGACAACAAGACUACAAGGAAGUACAAGAGCAAGUUUGAAGAAUUUAGAUAGGAUUUUUGUAAUCCGUAGUUCAUAGCUUAGGAUAGCUUCUUUUAUUCUUGAUUGGUGUAAUAAGGAAGGUCAGCAAGCAGUAGUAGCAGCAAAUGCAGUGAAAUCACAGCUCCUGGUAGUCCCAGCUACCAGACACUCCCGAACUACACUAACCUGAUUCCUGUUUAGACCAAGAUAUGGAGGCAACCUCUGAAGCAGGAUGCAGUCAAACUUUUUAAAAUGCUUCCUACGGAAUUUUUAAACGGGCAAAAAUCCCUCAUAUUGCUCAUUUUAUGUUUGCCCGAAACCUUUCAUGUUUCCGAGCAAAGAGGGGCAGCUGUGAGCACGUGAUUUUUCCCUACAUAUGAAUCAUUCCCAUAAAAUUCAAACAAAAAUAAUUUUUCUUUAUUUUACAAUUUUUGUAUCAUUCUCUGUUAAUUGUUUGCAUUUUUGUUUGUCACGAUAAUUCAUAAAAAUACAAAAAUAUGCAUUUUUGGCAUCUAGGAAUUAAUAUCACAUUUUAGCAUUAAUUAAAGGUUAAUUUGUUUUAGCAAAAUAUGAAAAUCAUAAAAACAUAGUUCACUCUUGCUUUUUAAUUAUUUUAUUAGGAAUUUUUCAUAAAUUGGUUUACACAAUUUUAGGAAUUAGUUAGUCUUUGCUUUGAAGUGCAUUAGGAUUUUAGGUUGAUUUUGCACCUUUAUAAAAUCAGAAACAAAUAAUACAAAAUGGAAAAACAAACAAAAAACAUAAUAAGGAAAUAAAAAGAAAUCAAAAGAAAAGCUUUUAAAAGAGUUGGUCUUGCAAAAGACCAAUUUUGGGCUGAUUUUUGAAUCAAAAUUGCCUGGACCAAAACAAAUUCACGCCUAGCCCAAGUCACACUCAUACCCGCUCCAAUUGACCCAUCCCCAGAGCCGCCUAAAGGACGGCUUUUCAGUCGCCAAGCAAUCCCAGCCCUUGAUCUCCCUUUUAAUCCGACGGCCCAUUAUUUUCUAAGGAAAAUAUUAAACGGUCGGGGAUUAAUUAUAAUCAAUGACAAACAAUCUUCUUCCUUGUACAGACCCUAAUCCUCGCCGGAAUCCCUUGCCGGCGGGAAACGCUACUUUCCCCGUAGGUCGCCAAAUUAACACCGUCGAUUCCCCUUAACAUCCUCUUCCCAUUCCCCGUGGAUAUAUGCUUCGAAUCUUCCUGGAAACCUCGAACGUCCGCUAGAAAUUUUCCGGCCAAAACGCAAAGUAUGCCAAAUACUACCAAAUUUACACCACAGGUUCGCCUGAACCCCUCAUCCCAAGUACCCAAACCGUUUUCUACGAAUCAUCACCAUGACUCUCGAAUUUGGAAUUAAAAUUCGCCGGAAAACCUGAAUUCUUAGAAAGAUUUUCCAAGUCGAUGUCACAUGAUAAAAAAUCCUUCCCCAUGAAGAAACUCACAUGCAAUGGUUGUCCAUUCCCACUAGAGUCGCACGAAAUUUCCUGUAAAUGGUAGUUUAUUUGUUUCAGUUUAUUUCUUUCUUUCUUUCUAUUUCUGUGCAUGUGUGAGUUCUUGGGCCAAAAUUCUCGAUGUUAAUUUUUGUUUGAUUUUCGGUUGAUUUUAUUGUUACGAUUGGUUUUCUCCUUGCUCGUAAUUGUCUUUUCCUUUUCAUUGCUGAUUAGAAUAAGUGUAAUUGUGCUUUGGGGUUUGUGAUUAAGCUGGUGGAUGAUUUUUGGCUUUAAAUUUAUUUCUGAUAGGCUAUUAGGAAUUGAUAGUUUAGUCUGUUAAUCAGGGUUAUUUUUAGACAAGUUACUGCACAUCUUAGUUCAGGGAAAGGGUAAGUGGUCUAGUAUAGUUAACUUUAGUUAGUAAUUUUAGGGGGUAGUGAAGGGUAUUGUGGGCAUUUGAUAAUAGGAUACAAUAUUGUGGAUAAUGCUAGAACCUUUUAGAAUAGGGUUGUAGUUUUAAUAUCAGAAAGUUGAGUGUUUUCCUUAAAGCAAAAGUUAAUAACUUAGGGAUUGAAAGUGUAAAUUGAAUAGGGAUCUAAAGGGUGAUUUAAAAUCUGAGUUCACCUAUAAAAGGGCAUAGAAAUAUCCUUGCUAGGGUUCUUCUUUCUUCAGCCAUUCUUGAGCUUAUUAAACCCUUCUCCAUUCUUCCAAUUUGAAGGAGACCAUCUUAAUUUCAGAAAACACCAAAAAAAAAAAAUUCAAAAUAAAAAAUGCCAGUUACUAUUUCAUUGGGAUCUUAGUUUAAGCUCAAGUCCUCUUGAGUAUUUGAUUGUUGUUUCUGAUAGCUACUGGUCGAUUUCAAGGCAUAAUUGAUUUCUCAAAUUUUCUAGGUUGUUUUUGAGGCUAUUCGAGUUGGAUUUGUAGUGUUAUUGAGUUUCAAAUUCAUCUUACUUGCUGGAUCUGUUCCUGGGAGCUGAAAUUUUCUGGGUUGUUUUUGAGGCUAUUCGAGUUGGAUUUGUAGUGUUAUUUGAGUUUCAAAUUUAUCAUGUUUGCUGGAUCUGUUCCUGCGCUUUGUGACUUCAUUAUUGGAUUAUUUGAUCAUUUGUAUGACUGGGGAUUAGUUGUUUGUUGCUGAUGUUGCACUGCUUCGCUGACCUCCUCUUUCUUCUUGUUUGAAUCUUCAUUUUCCAGGUACUUGUUCAAAACUGGCUAGUGUAGGUGUUUGAAUUGAAGCUGGAAUGAAAUGGUUCUUAGGAAAUUUCAUGUAUUCGAAUUAUAGCAGAGUAAUAGAUUUGUAUGAACUUUGUUUGGUUUAAUCUAUAUAACUAGGUUAAUAUGAUAUAACUUUUGAGUUAGACCUUUAACUGGUCUGUGGUGUGUAAAAGCAGCUGAUGGCUUUUGUUGCUUGGAUACUGUUGGGUAAUCAAUCAUUCUGGGAUAAAAUUGAUACUUGUUUAAAGGGAGAUAACCAUUCUAAUUAUACACCAAUCGACUUUAAAGGCUAGUUUGGAAUUUGCAAAGCAUGAUUCAUAAUUAGUUUAAUAAAUUAAUUGUGUUGAGUAAACUAUUAGAUUACUUUUGAUAAGUAUUUUAGUCUGUUUGAUUCUGGGCCAUUUUUAGUUAAAAUAACCAGGUCGUCAGCAUAUGAUAAAACAAAGCGUCCAUUUGGUGUGGGUUUGGAUUUGGGAUUUGAAUGAGUUAUCUUGCUAAAAGGACCGCGUUGGUUCAGGUAUUCGAUCCCAGGUUGGGCGUCAGAGCCGCCUAGGCCAAUGUUCAUUAUUUCUGGGCCUGAAACAAUUGGGCCUUAUCACAUCCCUAUCAUGCAGGCCAGUUUAGGAUAAGAAAUAAUGUGAUUUUAGUUUGACUUGAUAUAAUGCUUUUCAUUAUUAAGCUGAUUUUAUUUCUUUACUAGGGCAAAAAUCGAAAAAAUAGAAAAAAUUGUAGUCACUUUUAGAUUGGCCUUUUAAUAAAAUGUUGAGACGAGCCUCGCCAAAAAAAUAAAUAAAUGCGGGGCCCUCGAUAAAUAUUAUAAGAAUUGAUUAGAAUAUGGGAGCGCAGUUUAGUGAAUUUCAUGGCCUUUCCCAAAUAAUAUUACGUCGGAAUCUUUAGACGUGUUUUAAUUAAAGUACCUUCUUAAACUCGUAUGUGCAUUGAUGCGACCCAAAUCCAAAUCUCGACGAAGUCAAAAUGUGUUGAUAACCAUGGGUGCCUUGAUGGCGACGGGGUUAGAAACACAUUUUCAUAACGUCGUAAUUCUUAUAAAACAAAUAAUGAUCGAAAAUUGGUUAAAAAAUGGAGACGAGCCUCACCGAAUAAAAAGAAUUGUGGGGCCCUCAAUAAUUGUUUAUAAAAAUAAUUAGAAUUUGGAAGGACCGUUUAGCGAAUUUUAACGGCUUUUUCCCAAAUAAUAUUACGUUAGAACUUUUAAGCGCGAUUUAAUCAAAUUGCUUCCUUAAACUCGAGUGCGCAUUGAUGCGACCCAAAUCCAAAUCUUGAUGAAGUCGAAAUAUGUUGGCGAACACGGGUGCCUUGAUGGCGACGUGGUCGAAGACACGUUUUCAUGACGUCGCAAGUCUUUUUAAAUAAAUAAUGAUAAAAGCAGUUUAUAAAUAAAAGGCAUAUAAGUUAGCAUGUAAUAAAAUCAGAUAAAAUCAAAUACAACAGUUAAGCGACCGUGCUAGAANNNNNNNNNNNNNNNNNNNNNNNNNNNNNNNNNNNNNNNNNNNNNNNNNNNNNNNNNNNNNNNNNNNNNNNNNNNNNNNNNNNNNNNNNNNNNNNNNNNNNNNNNNNNNNNUGGAACCCCGGAAUGCCUAACACCUUCUCCCGGGUUAACAGAAUUCCUUUUCCGGAUUUCUGGUUCGCGGACUGUAAUACAAAGUCAAUCUUUUCCUCGAUUCGGGAUUAAGCCGGUGACUUGGGACACCAUAAAUCUCCCAAGUGGCGACUUUGAAUAAUUAAUAACCAAAUCCCGUUUUGAUUAUCCUUUAAAUGGAAAAACUCCUUUACGCCCCUUUGCGGGGGUGUAUAGCGAAAAAGGAGGUGAGACAACUAUGCACAUGAUGUCCCCCUUAUACGCGGAAAGCUUGAUCGUACUCUCUCCGAGCACGCGUAAAAAUGGUUACGGCCAUCUCCAAAAGAUAAAAGGCUACAACCAUCUCUAGAUUAAAAAUGGCUAUGGCCAUCUCUAAAGUAAAAAUGGCUACGACCAUCUCAAAAGUAAAAAUGGCUACGACCAUCUCUAAAGAUAAAAUGGCUACGACCAUCCCCAAAGAUAAAAUGGCUACGAUCAUCUCCAAAGUAAAAAUGGCUACGGCCAUCUCCAGAGUAAAAAUGGCCACGGCCAUCUCCAAAAGAUAAAAGGAUACGGCCUUCUCCAAAUGAUUGAAAUGGCUAAGGCCAUCUUUAAAUUAAAAUUGGCUACGGCCAUCUCUAAAGUAAAAAUGGCUAUGACCAUCUCUAAAGAUAAAAUGGCUACUACCAUCUCCAAAGUAAAAAUGGCUACGGCCAUCUCCAGGGUAAAAAAUGGUCACGGACAUCUCCAAAAGAUAAAAGGCCACGGCCACCUCUAAAUUAAAAAUAGCUACGGCCUUCUCCGGACGAUUGAAAAGGCUACGGCCAUCUCUAAAAGUAAAAAUGGCUAAGGCCGUCUCCGAAGAAUAAACGACUACGAUCGUCCCUAACGCAUAAACGGCUACGGUUAUUGGCGGAAUCCGCUCAUCGAGCUCUACCUGAGCCCGACCUCAAUAAGCGGAGGGACUAUCUGUAUUGGCCAAAACCUGACCUCAUGAUAAUGAAUGAGAUCAACGCAUUUAUUAAAGCCUAUUUAUGACUAAUAAAUGGUAUGACCAUUCAUUCACAAGAUUAUCGGGUAGUUAUCCAAUUUGACAACUAAGGCCACAACGUGGCCAUCCUCACGAGGGCGUCCCCUCUAUGUGGUUCCAACCCCUUGGCGCAAGCCGGCAGAUCUCCUAGCUAUAAAUACUAGGAGAAAGAGCCCUAAAAGAGGGGUUGCUUCUUCUUCUUCGCAUCUCCUUCUAAAAGAAGAGAGAAUACAUCAUUGUAAGGCUCUGAACCUCUCCAUGGAGAGGCAGACCGAACCAACAUCAUUAAUAAAAGAUCCUCAUCCUCCUCCCUUUAAUCUGUAACUGUUGUCUCUUAUAUUUUAUUCCUUUGGUCUUUGGAUUCAUUACGAUCUGUUAUGAUUGGCCCUCCAUUUAUUUUGAUUGUUUUAUGCUUCUAAAGUAAAUGAAAACUUUGAGCUAAACAAUCGACUGUUCUCCUCCCUUUAAUUUAUAACUGUUGUCUCUUAUAUUUUAUUCCUUUAGUCUUUAGAUUUAUUACGAUCUGCUAUGAUUGGUCCUCCAUUUAUUUUGAUUGUUUUAUGCUUCUAAAAUACAUGAAAACUUUGAGCUAAACAGCCUUAUCUUUAUGGUGGGAUUAAUUCACUUAACAAGUAUUAUAGUAUAAUCUUUUCAUUUCUCCUUUUCAAUAUAACGUACAGAAAAGAGAAACUUGGCAUAAUAUGUACUAGGGGGGACAAAUUAAAAUAUUGGAGGAAUAUAGAAGUUCAUGACAUAAUUCCUUAUAUGAAAACGACAAUCCCCAAAAGGAGAAUUAGAAUUGUUGUGGUAUGUAGGUGAGAACAUAAAACUGGUGCUAAUAUUAAAUGACGAGUUAAAAUUCUAAGAGGGCCCUGAAUAAUACAAGUGAGAACACAUGGUGGUAAUUGGAGUUGCCGUCUUCUCGUUUCACACGUGUAGAAUGUGUCUAUUUCUUUCUUCCUACUUUAGUAUAGUACGUAGUCAUAAUAAUAAUUAAUGAAGUUUUAACCAAAAAAGCACGUGGAUCUUUAUGUGUUCUAUAGAAAAUAUAUAUAUGUAAUGAUUACCUGUCCUAAAUCAAAUGAUAAACACAUCUUUCUGAUCCUGAAGCCUCCACCAUAACAGUACUACCUACGUAUUGCUAUAUCGGCAUUAUUACUUGUGAAAAAUGUAGUAUCUGGCUUCAAAUGCAUGGACUGAUUUCUAUAAACAGGCAACACCAUCUUUUGCUGGCUUUUAUUCCUAGCCGAGAUAAUUAAUUACGUAGUACUUUAGAUCUCAUAAUUAUUGAUAAGCUCUAAUUUUUGUAUUUGUGAUAUUUAGCUAAAUACAAUUGAUUUAUCCUUUUGGCCUCUUUCUAAAAAAGGAAAGAUAUGUUAUAUUGGAAAUAUUUUUAAAAGUAAUGACCUGCAAACUAUAGUUCAAUUUUUAAAAUUUGGUAUAAAAGUAGUUGGCUCAAAAGAUAAUAAAAUCUUUUUGAACAAAUUAAUCAAUGAAGAAGGGGUAAAUUAUAGUCAAACGUAUUUGAUACCAGAUCGGAAG